AUGAAGGCUAUGUUUUGGUUUCUGCAUUUUUGUUUGCAAAGCUCGUGGAGUGCCUCACUCAAAGGCACUGGUUUUUUAAGACGCAACAGGCAGGAGUAAGAAUCCGAGCAGUACUUGUUACAGCCAUCUACAACAAGGGUUUGACCUUGUCAUGCCAGUCCAAGCAGGGCCACACAAGCGGUGAGAUUAUCAAUUUUAUGACUGUCGAUGCUGAGAGGAUCGGUGACUUCAUUUGGUACAUACACUAUCCAUGGAUCAUCCUUGUACAAGUUGGCUUCGCCCUAGUGAUUUUGUACAUAAAUCUUGGUCUUGCAGCUAUCGCAACAUUGAUUGCAACGAUAAUUGUUAUGUUGGCAAAUGUUCCCCUAGGGUCCUUGCAGAAGAAGUUUCAGGACAAGUUAAUGAAGUCAAAAGAUAAAAGGAUGAAGGCAACAUCUGAGAUCUUGAGGAACAUGAGAAUUCUCAAGCUUCAAGCAUGGGAGAUGAAGUUUCUCUCUAAAAUUAAUGAGCUCCGGAAGUCAGAGGCAGGAUGGUUACGAAAGUUUGUUUACACUUGGGCCAUGACCUCAUUUGUCUUCUGGGGUGCCCCAACAUUUGUGUCUGUGGUCACUUUUGUUUCUUGCACGCUUUUGGGAAUCCCACUCGAAUCCGGGAAGAUCUUAUCUGCACUUGCAACGUUCAGGAUUCUUCAAGAGCCUAUUUACUGUCUUCCAGAUACAAUUUCAAUGAUAGCACAAACUAAGGUAUCUCUUGAUAGAAUUGCAUCAUUCCUUUGUCUUGAUGACUUGCAGCCGGAUGUUAUAGAGAACAUCCCAAGAGGUAGUUCUGAUACAGCAGUUGAGAUAGUCGAUGGGAAUUUCUCUUGGGAUUUAUCUUCCCCUAAUCCAACAUUGAAGGAUAUAAAUUUCAAAGUGAGCCGUGGUAUGAGAGUUGCUGUUUGUGGUACUGUUGGCUCGGGCAAGUCGAGCUUACUUUCUUGCAUUCUGGGAGAAGUUCCGAAGAUAUCUGGGACUCUAAAGUUGUGUGGGACCAAGGCCUAUGUUUCUCAGUCACCAUGGAUACAGAGUGGAAAAAUAGAAGAAAACAUAUUGUUUGGUAAACAGAUGGACAGAGAAAGUUAUGAGAGGGUUCUAGAAGCGUGUUCGUUAAAGAAGGACCUGGAAGUUCUAUCGUUUGGUGAUCAGACGGUUAUAGGGGAGAGAGGAAUCAAUUUAAGUGGCGGGCAGAAGCAAAGAAUACAAAUUGCACGUGCCAUGUACCAAGAUGCUGAUAUUUAUCUAUUUGAUGAUCCUUUUAGUGCCGUUGAUGCUCAUACAGGAUCCCACCUUUUUAAGGUAUUUCAUUUCUCUAUUCUAGUAUGAUGCCAUAUGUAAUAAACUGAAUCUUCAAAGUUAUUUGCAUCAUUGAACUAUUGACAUAUGCAUCGAUAUUAUUCUUUUGUUUGACACUUCACGACUGAUUUAUUUACUUGACAAUUCCACAACAGGAAUGCUUGCUAGGCCUGUUGAGUUCGAAAACAGUAAUUUAUGUCACUCAUCAAGUGGAGUUCUUGCCGGCUGCUGAUCUUAUAUUGGUAAACUAUCCACAGAGCUUUUUUUUCUUUUUUGAAAUUCCAAUUCAUAAUACGUGAUACUAUCUACUUGGUAUAUGUCCACUCAAAGUUACUCCUUGUCAUCAGGUCAUGAAGGAUGGAAGGAUUAGUCAAGCUGGAAAGUUCAAUGAUAUUCUUAAUUCCGGAACUGAUUUUGAGGAACUUGUGGGAGCGCAUGAGGAAGCUUUGUCCGCACUUAAUUCUGUAGAAGAGGGGCCUGCUGAACAAAUAAAUGUUAGCAAAGAAGAAGGAAAUUCGGCUAGUACUGAUGGGGUUGUCCAAAAAAAAGAAAGCAGUGAUGUUCAAAAUAGUAAAACAGAUGAUGUAGGUGAGCUAAAGGGGCAGAUUGUUCAAGAAGAAGAGAGAGAGAAAGGUAGAGUUGGGUUUUCAGUGUACUGGAAGUAUCUCACCACAGCUUACGGAGGAGCUCUUGUGCCUUUUAUAUUGCUUGGACAAAUUCUGUUUCAGAUCCUUCAAAUUGGAAGCAAUUACUGGAUGGCUUGGGCAACUCCCGUGUCUGAGGAUGCGAAACCUGCGGUUACAAGCUCUACAAUGAUAAUUGUGUACGUUGCUUUGGCUAUUGGAAGUUCUUUUUGUGUUCUCUUCAGAUCCAUGUUUCUUGCAACAGCUGGGUACAAGACAGCAACUAUACUCUUUAGUAAAAUGCACCAUUGCAUUUUCCGUGCUCCAAUGUCUUUCUUUGAUUCGACUCCAAGUGGACGAAUCCUUAACAGAGUAAGCGAAAUAUAUUUUUAAUAUCAUGCCUGAUUGGUGGUUCAAAGCAAAAUAUAUUUCUAAAAUCAGUAUUCGAAUCAAUGUUGCUAAAUAAUUUCUUGCAGGCUUCUACUGACCAAAAUGUUGUGGACAUGAACAUGUCGAUUCAACUUGGGGCCCUUGCUAACUCAACAAUCCAGCUUGUAGGAAUUAUUGCAGUGAUGUCACAGGUUGCAUGGCAGGUUUUCAUCAUUUUUAUCCCCGUGGUUGCAAUCUGUAUCUGGUAUCAGGUAAUUCUUCUCACUUUGUCCGAAUGCUCCUAUCUUAUAGGUAGGUCAACUUAUCACAUGAAUUCAACUGGAAAAUACUUCAGUUUUAAUUCUUAUGUUGUUCAUGCUCUGUUGAUGCUCUUUAUUCAUACCUAUACAUGCUUGAACUUGGCUUCCUUAGUGACGCAAAAGUUUACUCCUGUUACAGCCCGGAAUAUAUAAGAAUCAUGUUAAAUAAAAUGCUCACGAAUUUAUAUUGAUGCAGCAAUACUACAUUCCUUCAGCAAGAGAACUAGCACGGUUGGUUGGAGUAUGCAAAUCUCCAGUGAUACAACAUUUUGCCGAAACAAUUUCCGGGUCAACAACUAUUAGAAGCUUCGAUCAAGAAUCAAGAUUCAGGGAUACAAAUAUGAAAUUGACGAUAGUUUUGGUCGGCCUAAGUUCCAUACUGCAGCUGCAAUGGAAUGGCUAUGUUUUCGCUUGGAUAUGUUGUCAUCUAUCACAUUUGGAUUUUCUUUGAUUUUCUUGAUCUCUAUUCCAGCGGGGGUAAUUGAUCCAGGCAAGUGAUAUUCAUCUUUUGUUUUACUGAUUAUUCUUGAAAUAAUUGUUUGCAAAUCUAGAAAUUCUCUUUUUCUUAUUUGGUUUGCAUUUUUUACCCAAAAGGCAUUGCGGGAUUGGCUGUCACAUAUGGACUAAAUCUAAACAUGUUGCAAGCUCGGUGUAUAUGGAAUCUUUGCAAUGUAGAGAACAGAAUAAUAUCAGUGGAGAGAUUACUACAGUACACUAAUAUUCCCAGUGAACCUCCUCUUGUAAUAGAAUCCAAUCAGCCGGAUCGUUCUUGGCCAUUACAUGGAGAAGUUGAUAUCCGUGAUCUUCAGGUACCUUCUGUUCUGGUUUAUUUCUUCAUACGAUAUAGGAUCAGUCAUGUUUAUGACUGUUAUUUCAUGUUUAUGUAGGUUCGCUAUGCUCCACACAUGCCACUUGUGUUGCGGGGUCUCACAUGUACCUUUCCUGGGGGAAUGAAAACUGGGAUUGUGGGGAGAACUGGCAGUGGCAAAUCAACUCUCAUACAGACCCUUUUCCGGAUUGUGAAUCCUUCUGCCGGCCAGAUUUUGAUAGAUGGUAUUGAUAUCUGUUCAAUUGGACUGCAUGACUUGAGGUCUAGGCUGAGCAUUAUCCCUCAGGACCCAACCAUGUUUGAAGGGACUGUAAGAAGCAAUCUGGACCCGCUUGAAGAGUACACGGACAAACAAAUUUGGGAGGUUGGUUGGUUACAUUGAUGAUAGGAAUUUUGUUCCCACUAAAUGUUCUUCUGUAUCUGACUUUUUAGUUCCAAAUUGGAGUCACUCGUUAACAUGUCUUUUAUUUGUUUUAGGCCCUCGAAAAGUGCCAACUUGGAGAUGAAGUUAGGAAAAAGGAAGGAAAGCUGGAUUCCACAGGUUUUUUCUUAAUUUAGAGGCUAUAUAGAUGCUCUCAAUUUCAUGCUAUGUCAUGGAAAUUAUUCGUGCUUAUGUUUCGAGAAUUGCUGCAGUUAGCGAGAACGGAGAGAACUGGAGUAUGGGUCAGAGACAGCUGGUCUGCCUUGGCCGUGUGCUCCUGAAGAAAAGUAAGGUUUUGGUGCUUGAUGAAGCUACUGCAUCGGUUGAUACGGCUACAGAUAAUCUGAUCCAGCAGACCCUUCGACAACACUUUACUGACUGCACAGUCAUUACUAUUGCGCAUCGUAUAACUUCUGUUCUUGACAGUGACAUGGUUCUGCUUCUAAGUCACGGUUAGUAUUGCCAUAUGAAUCCAUCCAACAUUCCUAAUGAUCCCCUUUGUUUUUACUUUAACAUAUUUUUGAUCGUGUUGCAGGGCUUAUUGAGGAAUAUAAUUCUCCAGCAAGAUUGCUGGAAAACAAAUCAUCGUCAUUCGCUCAGCUCGUGGCAGAGUACACAACGAGAUCGAAUUCUAGUUACGAGUAGUUUGAAUGACAAUUAACAGUCCAAAUCUUCACUGUGCACUAGUCAACUUGGUAACUGUUUUGAUAAUGUCGAAAAUAAUUGGUGAGUAUGGGAUUACUCAACCAUCAGAAUCGGAUGAUCAAGCUGCAGCUUGCAAGUGUAUUUUUAUAUGCUAUAUUUUUUGUUACAAAUGUGUUAUGAUUAAGUACAUUAUUCAAGUAAUGGUAAUCUCAGAGUUAAUGUAGUUGUCAAACUUUGUGCUUCCAAUGAAAUCUAGAAUGUCUGGUUUUAAUUUACCAGCAUUCAGUUGUGGACGUGCUGUUUCAAUCAGGAUUGUGGAUUAAAUUUAUAUUAAAUGCCAAGCUGCGCAUAGGUUUUAAGAAAAAAAUUACAAAGUUCUGUUAAAUACUAGCAAGAUUGCCCGCGCGAUGCUGCGGUGCUACGUCUUGCUCCUGUACAACCUUAUCUAAAAAGGAACAAUGAGCAGCGUUGAAUUUAAUUCCAUCAUCAAUUUGUAGGAUCUAAAUUAAUAUAUAUAUAUAUAUAUAUAAACAUAGACCCCAAAAUUUCUAUCAUGGAGAAAAAUAUUAACAUUGGGAAAAGGCAAAGAGAGGAAUUCUGAAAAGAAAACUGAGAGUAUGGAUCAUAUUGAAUGGAAAUCACAAACAGCAACCACAUCAAAAAUGAAGAAUAACAAUUGAAAAGCAAAAUAAUAAUCGAACCAUAACUAAAAAAGCCAUCUGAUUUUGAAUAUUACAAUUAUGAAGCAACUCUUAUAGGAUGAGUGAGUAGAACUUACAACGUAUUUAGGAGUUACAAAGCAGUUAGGAGUGUUCCAUCUCGCUAUCAAUUUGCUAAACCAAGAUCAUCUGUACCAAAUGACAACAUUUUAAUCCUUCAAACUGCUCCUGGAAAGUAAAUUAAAUGUGGGGAUCUAUACCUUAAGACAACGGAAAAAGUAGAUUAAAGUUGGAAAGUAUCAAACUUUACAACUUUCUCCAAAAGCAUAUAUCACCACAAAAGUACCAAUUUUUCGCAUUAAUCAGAAACUAUGCAAUAUUAUUUUAUAUUUUCCAAUGAAUUUGAAACCCUGAAAUUGUCAUAUUUGGACAUUCUUUACUCGAAAUUUAUUCAAGAAGCACUUGUCAAAUGUUCGACAAAAUUUAGGAAUUGAAACAAAAUCCACAGUGCAGUGAUCACAAUCGUCGAGACCAACAUUUGAAAAAUGUAGAUAAAUUCACUGAUAAGGCGUAUCAUAAAAUACCCAUUGAGAUUGAGAUUGCAGCAAAUUGAAAACAUUCUUAUUAAAAUAGCGUAAGUCACAAAACGCACAAUCAAAACAACAACAACAUAUUACUUUAAACUUGCAGAGACUCCAAAGGAAUACCGAACUCAGGUACAUAAUUAAAAAAAAUGAAUAAUGGUAAAAAAAAAGAUCCAUCAGGACAAAAAAUUCUCACAUGAAAUUUAAUCAACAGAUGAAAUUCUUAAGUUACCCAAUUAGACAAAGCAAGAAGAAACAGUCGUUAAUCAAGAAUUCACCAAAUAAAACAAUGCAAGAAUUGACCAAAUAAACGAUGAAAAAUUGAUUGCAACAAUUGGAACAAAGUAACAAACAGGGGGUAGGAUUUGCGGCCCCCACUGCAACAAAUCUAGCAUUUAUGCAAAGGAAAUUCGAUUACAACAACAAAGCCUUUUCCCACUAAGUGGGGUCGGUUAUGUGAAUCCUAGAACGCCAUUGCGCUCGGUUUUGUGUCAUGUCCUCCGUUAGAUCCAAGUACUCUAAGUCUUUUCUUAGGGUCUUCCAAAGUUUUCCUAGGUCUUCCUCUACCCCUUUGGCCUUGAACCUCUGUCCCGUAGUCACAUCUUCGAACUGGAGCGUCAGUAGGCUUUCUUUGCACAUGUCCAACCCACUCAUUCCUAAUCUUAUCCUUUCUCGUGAGCCCACACCUCUAACGAAGCAUCCUCAUCUCUGCUACACCCAUUUUGUGUACGUAUUGAUGCUUCACCGCCCAACAUUUUGUGCCAUACAGCAUCGCCGACCUUAUUGCCGUCCGAUAAAAUUUUCCCUUGAGCUUCAGUGGCAUACGACGGUCACAUAACACGCCGGAUGCACUCUUCCACUUCAUCCAUCCCGCUUGUAUUCCAUAUAUUAUGUCUUUGAUCGGCUUAGGCGAAGACCUUUAGAUUCCAACACUUCUCUCCAAAGGUUAAGCUUUGCAUUUACCCAUUCCUAAGUUUCAUCUAUCAACCCUAUAUCGUCUGUGUAAAGCAUACACCAAGGAAUAAUAUCUUGAAUAUUUCCUGUUAACUCAUCCAUUACCAAUGCAAAAAGGUAAGGACUUAAGAAUUGUUGAUGCACAAACUCAGUGAGGACUUUGGUACAACAGAAAGUAUUAAGUUUGUGACCUUCACUAGAUUACUCCGGUCAUUAGUGUGGAUAAGUAUGUAAAAUGAUAGAGACAGGAGAGCAAACACAAGAUGUAUGUGGUUCACCUAGAUUGGCUACGUCCACGGAGUAGAAGAGUUCUCAUUAAUUGUGAAGGGUUUACACAAGUACAUAGGUUCAAGCUCUCUUUUAGUGGGUACAAGUGAAUGAUUUAGUACAAAUGGCAUUAGGAAAUAUUUUGGGAGAAUGAUCUCCUUUUAUAAAGAGAGUUUCUAGCCUUGUUCUGACAUUGACACGUGUCGUGUUGUGAUUGGCUUCUGAUGUCGACACGUGUCGCUCUGUGAUUGGCCUCCUGGUUGGAAGGGAAACUCCUCGGUUGGGGACUUGCAAGAUCCAAGCUGUUGAGUAAUCACGAAACUUCUAAGUACCGAAGUGUGGUAUCGUCUUCACUUGCCUUAUCUGUCUCAUAGGUAGAUGCAGCAUCUUAUAUGGAAGUACUCUUCCUCCGUCCAGGGGUGGUAUCUUUAACUGGUGGAGAUGCACAAGAUAAUGUAUCAAUUUCACUUGAAGCUUACUUGUAGUUUCAGGCUUGGUCAAGCGCGAUACAAACCAUGUAGUAGGAGUCCCCCAAGUCGCCAAGCUAGGGGAUCUGCUGAAAGAGGUGACAGACAAGGUAAGCAAUCAGAACUCCAAGCAAUCAGUCCCAGAUCAGAAGUUUGAUUUCGAGUUCUGGCUGAUUAUUCUCAUUCUCCUUAUCUUGCAGGCAGCAUGAAGGAUAAAGAGAAGAAAAUGAGAUGAGAUGAUAUGAGAUACUUUUGCUUUUGAAGAAGUAACUUUCCACAUGCUUAUUCUUGAACUGGGCUGGAGGGUUUUCUGGUUACCUCCAGAGUAUAAGGCCGACUGAAGAAUUUGAGGGUCAAAACAAGUCCAUCAAAUCUAGAGUACGUUCGACCCUGCUGAUAUGGGAUACUUUUUCUGUUGACAAAGUAGUGGAAGUAUCGGCAUGUGUUAUGUUACACUUGUCUCCACAUGCUUCCUUGUAUCCUUCUCACUUGCCCUAUCUGUUCUUCAGGCAGAUGUGGUAUCUUCUUUGGAAGCAUAAGAUGUUGAAGAUGAGUACUCGAGAGCAAUGCUAGGUAAGUAAUCAGGUAAGGGGUUCCAGGUAGUCAGUUCCUGACUGGAAGCUUGAUUCUAAGUGCUGACUGAUUGCUCUCUUUCUCCUUGUCUUGCAAGUAAGAACAAGGCUAAAGGAAAAGACAGGGAAAAAGCAUGAUAUGGGAUACUCUUGCUUUUUACCCUAAUGAUAUGAGAUAUUCUUGCUUUGGUGUAGCUUGUUUGCAGAGGUAUUAUCGGGGGGAAAGAAAGCUGAGUAUUUCGAGAGGCUUCGUUGGGAGUGCCCUCUCAGAUAUAAGGAAGGGUUAAGCAUUUUUGCAGGUAUGCCUGUCCGUUAAGGAUGGAAGUCAACAUAUAUAGGAGUCUUCCUAACAACAAGUAGUAAUGCUAUUCCUUUACCCUUCUUGGUCAUAGCACUGUAGUGGGAGUUGCCAGCUUCACGUGUUUUAACUCUGUCAGAGCACUUUGAAAAAGUGGUCUGUGGUAUCUGGAAAGCUGAUGUUCAGUGUAAAGAUUACAGACAAGCUUUAUCCAAGGAGAUCUGGAUCUCGAAGUUGAGAAAGCGAUGCCUCUUUGGUUUUCGAACAAUCGAUCCUGUAAGGGAUCUGGCUCUCGAGAUUCGAAGAACAGUGCCUCUUCGAUCUUUGAGAAAGCAAUCCUGCUGGGAGUCUGGCUCUUGAAAUUCGAAGAGCGGUGUCUCUUCGAUUUUUUAGAAAGUAAUCCUGUUGGGAAUCUGGCUCUCGAGAUUCAGAGGGCGGUGCCUCUUCGAUUUUGGAGCAAGCAAUCUUGUUGGGAGUGUUUUCUCGAAUGUGAGUAAAGGUUGGGCAUUUUUGCUAGUCUACCUUGCCACGGAGCAUAGAGGUUGACACACAAGGACUUUCCACUUAUCCAGCAGUGGUGUUGUUCCUUUACCCUUGUGGAUAAUAAUAUGGUAUCUUAACCUUCAAAAUUUAUAUGUCUAAACUUUGUUAGUGCUGUUUCUUUGCUAUUCUUUUACCCUUCUUGGUUAUAGCGAUGUAGUGGGAGCUGCAAGCUUCACGUGUCUAAACUUUGUCAGAUAUCUUUGGCAAAGUUAUAUGUGGUACCCAUGAGCUGAUGUUGCGUGUGGAAAGUGGAUGAUUGAACAAUAAGAUUCACGUGCUUUCUACUUCACCAGAAAUCUUCGACAGAUUGCCCGUAAUUUCCGCAAAGCUGAGUGUGCAUGUGACAGGUGCUGACAAGGCUGAGAAAGCAGGUGCCUCUUCGAUUUCUGAGAUCGGCCCUCGUAGUCUUUAAGCAGCCCAGCUUUUGAGAAAGCAAACGCCUCUUCGAUAUCUGAGAUCGACCCUCGUGGUCUCUGAGGAGCCCAGCUUUUGAGAAAGCAAACGCCUCUUUGAUUUCUGAGUAGGCGCCUCUUCGAAUUCUGAAGCUCCGUCGAGUGCAGAUUUUUAUAGAGGUUGACAUUAAGUUCCAAACACACUUGAAUCUCCACCAAUAGAAGCUCCCUUCUUGCACUUCUAAGAUCUUGAUUUGUCCGACCUCUUCUCUCUUCAACACCUUUGAAAAUGUCUGGCCCUUCCGACCGUCGUUUUGACUUGAACCUUGGUGAAGAGGCAGCCGCGCCUUUUCCAGACAACAUAUGGCACCCAUCCUUCUUAUCCCCUACUGGUCAUCUUACCGUUGGGGAUUCCGUGAUAAAGAAUGAUAUGACCGCUGCGGUGGUGGCCAGGAACAUUCUCACUCCCAAAGAUAACAAACUUCUUUCCAAACGGUCUGAUAAGUUGGCUAUUAAGGAUUUUCUGGCUCUUAGUGUUCAGUGUGCAGGUUCUGUGUCGAAUAUGGCCCAACGCCUAUUUGCUCGAAUCCGCCAAGUUGAAUCAUUGGCGGCUGAAGUGAUAAGUCUCAAGCAGGAGAUUAGAUGGCUCAAGCAUGAGAAUAAACAGUUGCACAGGCUCGUACAUGACUAUGCUACAAACAUGAAGAGGAAGCUUGACCAGGUGAAGGAAUCUGAUGGUCAGAUUUUAUUUGAUCACCAGAGGUUUGUAGGUUUGUUCCAAAGGUAUUUAUUGCCUUCGUCUUCUGGGGCUGUACCGCGUAAUGAAGCUCCAAAUGAUCAGCCUCUGAUGCCUCUUCCUUCUAGGGUUCUGUCCAGUACUGAGGCUCCGAGUGAUCACCCUCCGGUGCCUUCUCUUUCUGGGGCUCUACCGACUGCUGAGACUUCUCCUAAGCAACCUUUAUGAAUGCCCCCUCUUGUUUGUUUAUUUUGACUCAUGUAUAUGUACAUAUUUGUAACUUAUCGGAGAUAUCAAUAAAUAAAUUUUGUUUCAUUUUAACGUAUUGUGUUAAAUACACCAAAGCCUUCUUCACUAACUUCUUUGAAUUUUUCUUUUGUUGAAGCUUGUAUGUUGAAGCUUUGUGAGUGAAGCAUGUAGGUUGAGGUAGUGUUCCCUUAAUUUCUUGAGUGAGGAAAACUUCUCGGUUGAAGACUUGAAAAAUCCAAGUCACUGAGUGGGGUCGGCUAUAUGAAUCUUAGAACGCCAUUGUGCUCGAUCUUGUGUCAUGUCCUCCGUUAGAUCCAAGUACUCUAAGUCUUUUCUUAGAGUCUCUUCCAAAGUUUUUCUAGGUCUUCCUCUACCCCUUCGGCCCUGAACCUCUAUCUCGUAGUCGCAUCUUCUAACCGGAGCGUCAGUAGGUCUUUUUUGCACAUGUCCAAACCACCAUAACCGAUAGCUUUCCUACAAUUUCGGCUACUCCUACUUUACCUCGGAUAUCCUCAUUCCUAAUCUUAUCCUUUCUCGUGUGCCCACACAUCCAACGAAGCAUCCUCAUCUCCCCUACACCCAGUUUGUGUAUGUGUUGAUGCUUCACCGCCCAACAUUAUGUGUCAUACAGCAUCGUCGUCCUUAUUGCCGUCUUAUAAAAUUUUCCCUUGAGCUUCAAUGGCAUACAGCGGUCACACAACACGCCGGAUGCACUCUUCCACUUCAUCCAUCCAGCUUGUAUUCUAUGGUUGAGAUCUCCAUCUAAAUCUCUGUUCUUUUGCAAGACAGAUCUUAGGUAGCGAAAGCAGUCGCUCUUUGGUAUUUCCUGAUCUCCGAUCCACACCCCUAACUCAUUUUGGCCUCCAUUUGCACUGAACUUGCACUCCAUAUAUUCUGUCUUUGAUCGGCUUAGGCGAAGACCUUUAGAUUCCAACACUUCUCUCCAAAGGUUAAGCUUCACAUUUACCCCUUCCUGAGUUUCAUCUAUCAAUACUAUAUCGUCUGCGAAAAGCAUACACCAAGGAAUAUCAUCUUGAAUAUGUCCUGUUAACUCAUCCAUUACCAACACAAAAAGGUAAGAACUUAAGGAUGAGCCUUAAUGUAAUCCUACAGUUAUGGGGAAUCUUUCGGUUUGUCCUUCAUGAGUUCUUACGGCAGUCUUUGCUCCUUCAUACAUAUCCUUUAUAGCUUGGAUAUAUGCUACUCGUACUCCUUUCUUCUCCAAAAUCCUCCAGAGAAUGUCUCUUGAGACCCUAUCAUACACUUUUUCCAAAUCUAUAAAGACCAUGUGUAAAUCCUUUUUCCCCUCUCUAUAUCUUUCCAUCAAUCUUCGUAAGAGAUAGAUUGCCUCCAUGGUUGAGCGUCCUGGCAUGAACCCGAAUUGGUUGUCCGAAACCCGUGUCUCUUGCCUCAAUCUAUGCUCAAUGACUAUCUCCCAGAGCUUCAUUGUAUGACUCAUUAGCUUAAUACCCCUAUAGUUCAUGCAAUUUUGUACGUCGCCCUUAUUCUUGUAGAUAGGCACCAAAGUGCUCUUUCGCCACUCAUUUGGCAUCCUCUUUGUUUUCAAAAUCCUAUUGAAAAGGUCAGUGAGCCAUGCUAUACCUGUCUCUCCCAAGACUUUCCACAUGCCAGUGAAGAACUCCAGCUACAUUGUUAAUUCCAGGGUACCUACAAAGUUAGCAUCUUAAUUAAAAUUUAAUUAGUAUUUUAUGCAUUAAUAAAAGCAAAGUCCUUGCAUAUAAAUCAAACCCAUCAAAUUAAUUGUACAAUUAAAUCCAAUCCAGACUUGAAAAUCCAAACUUUAUAUCAAAUUGAGAUUUUUUUUUUUGAGCUCACCAGUCGGCAGUUUUUGGAUGCCUGGAACCUCUAAAGUGGAAGCUAAAUGCAUCCCUUUGUACUUCUUUUUGUCUCCUCAUCUUCCUAUUUGUAAAGUCCAAAAAGCUGAAAUCAGAAUUGCUUCAAAUGAUUUGCCAGAUUUUACAAUUCGAAUGUGCUCACAAAUAUUGAGAUCAUAAUUUAACCAUUCUUUAUCACUGCGUAUCAUUUCUUUGUCAGUUUUUUUAUUUUUAUUUUUUAUAAAUCAAAUCUAAACCAAUCUCAAUGGAAAAAAUACCAAACACUUAUUAUCAUUGUACGUAAUUUAAUCUGUACGGUGCAAUGACUAAUCAAAUGAUCAAACAAAGCAAAAAAACUAAACUGAUCACAGAAUUUAAUCAGCAGAGCAAAGUCAGUGACAGUGAAUUUUUAAAUCACAUGUGCUCACAAAUAACUAAUGAUUUUGGUAUUUGCAAAUUGCGGAUAAACUGAUCUGGAAACAGAAGUUGUAGUAUUAGUUUUGUAACAUGCAAGUGAACAACAAUCUGUCAGGCCAAUACUACCUCACACAACCUCAACAACUCCUCCCAUCUUUUCCUCAAAAACUACGAAUCCAUUUAAAUCCAAUAAUUAUCAAUCCAUGUCCAAACCGAAAAAAAAAAUAGAAGCGCCAAAAAUAUACCCAAAAAAUUACAGCAGCGUUGCAUAUGCCAACAAAUCCGAGAUUUGCCAACCAAAGAACGAAAAUGCAAAAUUCUCUUUUAACAGGGAAAACCCAAUAGAGCACCACAACUGGCAAUAAAGGGAAACGAUUAAGGUUUCAUUGAAACAAAGGAAAAAUCAAAAAUAAAAACUGAAAGAAAAUGAUUAUAAAAUAUACCUUGGCUGAAUCACACUUGUUCCACAGCAGGGUGGAAAGACGCCACCCCUGAAAAGGGCUGGAAAUCGGCCAAAAUCCUAGCCACAACCCAAAAAUCCAAAACGGAAAAAAGGGGCAAACAUCAGGAAUUCAUUACCCCCGAUCAGAGAUGUCGAAACCCUCGGAACGCAAAAAAACCCUAAGUGUAAAUAGACGCAUAACGGCCCGGCAACCACAAAGUCCCUUAAACCACAAAAAUCAGCAACCCUUUCUGCGAAACAAAGAACGGAAACCACAGAGAAGCAGAGGAUUGGAAGAAAGAAAGGGCAAAACGAAAAGACCAAAGCCGAAAUCAGGAAAGGCAACGAAGGAACAAAAACCCUAACUCGUUUAGAAGACUCUUGAAGUCGAGAGAAUAAGGAUGACCGACGCGUGGAAAACAGGGGCAAAAAUGUCUCUCCGGCGCACUAAGCAAGCGAGACAAAAGGAAAGAAAACAGAGAAGCGAGGGCAUUUCCGUCCGGACACCAUUAACAAACAGUGCCAUUCGAAACCCAGUUUUAUGAAACCCAGUUUUAGCAUAUAUAAUUUUAGGAUAAACCACAAAUUUUAUUGCAAGUGAGCUUCUGACUGAGGGGGUGCAUUCAAAUUUUAUAUGUACUCAAUCAAGAUUUUGAAUGAAUCUAUAGAAGUUCACAGGUAUUCAAUCAAGAUUUUAAAAGAGUAUAAAAAUUUACAAAUUAGAGUGCAGUCUUUCAGGAUUUUAAAGUAGUUCAUAAAACUCCAUAUGUAUUCAAUUAUGAUUGGAUUUUAAAGUAUUUUAAAUGAUGAAAUAUUUUAAUGGAUUUAGAGGGAUUUUAUACUUUUUUUUUUAAACUUUAACGAAAAGCUCUCAGUACUGUUCACUUUAACGAAAAACCACAUUUUUACGCUAAAAAGUCAAAUUUGGUACUAUUCACUUUACUCUUUAUUUUGUCCUUAUCAUUAAAACUCAAAGUUUUCAAACCAUUUUCAUUAGUUUUUUUUUUUUAUAGGCUUUGGGAAAUCAAACCUUAACCUCUAAGAUUUGUAAUGAUUUCAUCCAAAAUUCACAUGGAAUGUGCGGAACACCAUUAAACUCCAUGAAUUUAAAACUCUUUUAAACUUUUUCAAAUUUUCAAUUGGUCACGGCUAAGUCACGUUAACAUUUUAUAUUACUAUUCCUUUUUGUCUUAUUAUCUCUAUACAAAAAAAUAUAAAAUGUUGACGUGGCUUAACGAUGACUACACAAAACAGGAGGGCACGGGAAGUGGGAGGGCAGAGAAUCUGCCUCCUUAGGGUGUAGGUCUUAGGGUUUCAACGGAGCCCAAAAUCCAGGAACUAGACCCUACGUCAUGUGAUUAACGUAGUGAAAUUUUCUUCUAACAAAAGUCUUAUGUAUGCAUGUUAGUCACAAUUCAUUGUUCAUUGAGAAAGUUAAUUGGCUAUGGCCUUGUAAUAGUAGAGUUGGACAUUAUUGUCAUUUUAACUAGCAAAUUAGUUUGACUUUUUAACUAGUAUCUAAACUAAAAAUUAUAGUAUUUUAGCUUAAAGUUCUUUUGAAUUUGGUAUUUAAACUAAAAGAUCCUUUAAAUAUUUUGGAAUGGUUGGAAUUUCGUCCACAAAUGCUUGCUUGGUGGGUUUGAAAAGCCUCCACUGUGAGCAAACGUGGAUUAGGCAAGUUGGUUAGGGUAAUGUGCCUGCACAACUCAAGUUUGAAUCUCUCAUUUCCGUAAAUUAGAGCAAUUUAGAAUAUCAUUUUAGGCAGCGGUAACACCGCUGAUAGAUUGAUAUGGCCCUUCACAAAAUCUGGUGAGUUCUGUGUCAAACUAGGCAUCAUUGGGCUCAUAUCAUAUCUUUGUCUAAGGCUAGCUCCAACAAGCCAUGCUCGUCUCACAGUCUUAAUCCGGACAUAUGGUAUAGGAUUUGGGGUUGCAACACUCUCCCUAAAAUCAAGCUCUUUGUAUGGCGAUUGAUCGUGCACUCCCCACCUUUGAUUGCUUAUUUCGUAGGAAGCUAAGCCCCAAUCCCUUGUGCCCCAUAUGCAAAACGCACCUUGAAACUUCAGCAUAUUUGAUCUUUCAGUGCCAAUGGGCUAAAAGGGUGUGGUUUGGUAGAGACCCGGCCUAUAGACCCAAUCUCACUUUCACCUCACCCUUUCAACGACAAGUUCACCCUUAUGAUUAAUUACUCAAAAAGUAAAAUGCCAUUAUAAAUAAAUAGAAAAACAAAAUCAAAUUAAACAUUAGAAAACAAAAUAUAGCAAAACCUUAUUCGUCUUCUUCUUCCCCUUCGAAUUGUUUUCUGACCACAAACAUUUCUCCGCACCAAUUAACAAUAACAUAAUUUUUUGAAUGAUAUCAGUAAAACAUUGAACAAAACUGCUUUUCCAAAAGUGAAUUUUAUUCCCAUUUCCAGUUAUAAACUUUGAUAAGGCAAGAAAAACAGUGAGAGGACUAUGAAUCGAACUGAGUUGUAGUAGACUUCGGGCGAGAGGACUGCGAAUCGAAUUUGAGGUGAAAUGUUGACCCGUACAAAGUUCCGGAGUUGAACUUUAUAUCUUUUCUAGGGUUAAUUGGCCCCCAGUGUACUUCUCUCCGUCUUGGGACUUUGUCAUGCUCAUCAGAGAGGCUGUGUCGUUGUCGGAGUUACUGGCUCCACCGGAAUAGUGUUGGACUGAGUUAGUCCAACGUCACAGGAUCUGAAAAGGAGAAGAGAUGUUAGCACAUAUCCCCUUUGGAAAAAAAAUGAUAACAAAUAGUUAGGUCGAGCUCUUUGUUUCAUGGUAAAGUGAUUUAAACUUUUCAAAGUAAUAAGAGAUUAGAACAAAAUAAAUAAAGGUAUUGAAAACCCUCCAGUCAUGAAGUAGUUAUGACCGUCGUCCUUAUUUUUGUUGUCGCUCGCAGACAGGAUUUUUACAAUCAAAUCAACACCAAUUUGAUUAAAAAAGAUAUCUUUUUAAACCUUAAGUGGUCCUCAACAAAUCCCCAAAAGGAACAUUCCUUUGAAUAUGCCAUCUUGACCUUCAAAAUUCCCAAAACGUCCCGAAACGUCAAUCUGGAAAAGCUGCAUACUGGGCCUUCCUUUCUUCGCCACGGCCAAACGACGUGGAAUUAAAUUUUGGAAUUUUAACACAAUUAUCUUGAAAAUCUCACAAAUCCACUUUAAUUGAAAUUGCUCCAAGAUUCCUUCGUUUGAUCACUUUUUGCCCAAAGUAGAUUCACAUGUCGAUAUAGUGAUUUAGACGGGGGGAUAUGAAUUCACUCUCAGAAUUAUCCAUGAUCCCUGGCGAAGAGGGAAUGGGGUUGAUUAGGGGUGUGGUUGAUUUCACAAAGGACUACCUACAUAUCUCCGAGAAGGAGAAUCAAAUCACAAGUAGGGGUGCAACUUGGGUUGGGCCAAUCCAAACCCGCCCAUGUCCAACCUGACUUUAAACCCAAACAAGUGGAUUUUUUUUAGUUAUAACCCGCCCAAACCCAACCCAAUUUCAACCCAUUCAUUAAUUGGGUUGAGUUAGGUUGAUCAUUUGUCCGUCCAUCCCCCCAACCAAACCUGACUAACCAAACCCAAUCUAACCAGAUUGUAGCCCAUAUUAAUUAAUGCUCAUACUACACCCAAGUGAGCCAAGUCCAAAAUCCAACGCCCUUUCUAAUUUUUUUUUAAUAAAUUACCCUUUAUAAUUACUUAAGCUUUUAGAGAAUAAGAGGUUUUAAUUAGUCAGCCCAUAUUUGUAGUCUCUAAAUCCUAAAGCUUUAUAGUAGAUUGAUUUAUGCUACUUGGCUUAUUUUUUUUAGGAAUUCUUGGAAACUAUGUGUUACAAGAUUAAACUUGAAAAAGUUGAGCAACCGGAACCCAACCCAAGUAAACCCUAACCCAAUUAAAACCAAGCCCAAAUGAACCCGAAUGCAACCCGAGCCCGAAUUGUAAAAGUUAGGUUAUGAUUGGUUUGACCUUCCAACCUGCCCAACCCGCUCGAGUUGCACCCCUAACCACGAGUGUAGUUUUAUGAAAGAACAGAGUAAACCAUCAUUAACAAAUAGUCUAUGACGGGGCGUUGGGAGAUAAAUUCUCCAUGGACGUGUCUACGCAUAAAUGGCAUCGUAAGGGCCUCUAUUAGGCAUUGAUAGAAUAAGUGUGUUGUGGUUUUGUAGAGGGAUAUAUCUAACUGUAGGUAGAUAUCUAUGGUAGUUUUGUAGAGAAUAAAGUAAUCAUCCUAAAGAGAGAUAUAGUUGCUCUCCUAGCAAGGGAUAUAACUGCUUCUCGAAAAAUACCCAAUGAUAGGAGCAUAUUUAUGCGACUUAGUUGCCUUGUUCUUGUGCAUUUAUGUCGUGUUUCCUUAGUUAUUUUAAUGUUUAAAGUCAUUUUCGUGUGUUUUCAGACUCGAAGUACAAAGUAUGCAAGAAGAUGCAUUUUGGAGGCCUUUGGAGCAUGUUUCGGGCUUGGAAUGGAUAGCAAAUGCAUGGGCCAAGUGGAUGGACGAAUUUGAGAACUAAAGAGGCCAAGAAUAUGAAGAAUUAUGGUCCAAAAGAUGAAGAAAACAGCCCAAAAAUCUGUCACCCCAACUUGCAUUCCUUGCCAUGCAAACCACAUAGAAUUCCCUUUGGAUUCCAUGCCAUGCUUGAUCACUCUUGUCCCCUACAUAAUUUCUAAUUUCAUGCUUCAAUUCAUUUAAUUAUUACACUCAAUUGCUUGAUACCUCUUGUUCCCUUCACUCAUUAGAUUUUAGACAACAUUUACAUCCAUUACAUGCACCAAUUGAUGCUCCAUCAUUCACAUUUGGAAUCCCAUGCCUUGUGUACCACAUGUUGCUGCACCUUUGACCCAUUUAUUAACACAUUUUCACCUCCCUUUCCAUCUUUAUGCAAUGUACACAAUCAUUCAUGCCCCUAGCUACAAGACCACUCCAUUUUACCCUUCACACUUUGCAUCAUCACUUCAUUUUCACCCUUGGACCAUUGCACACCACACACACAAAUUGCCAUGCAUUUCAUCCUUAACCUAACCUGAUUUUCGAAGGUUUUUGGGGCCUAUAAAUACAUGUUUACACCCCUUGGCCAAAGAAUAAUCCCCCAUAUUCAUCAUUUUAUCACAGAAAUUCGUCCAUACACACCCUAGGAAGCAAAACACCCCAAAAACACCAUUCUAGUGCCUAGAAAACAUAACAGCCACUCCACCUUCUUCCACCCUCUUUGCCUAGUUCUCCACCACCUUCCAACCAUCAAACACUCUUCCACACUCACCCUAAACCCCUCCAUAUCAUUCCCCAUCCAUUCUACACCAUAAAUCCACCCAAAAAUCUGUCCACAAGCUUCAUGCCGCAACAAGGAGGAAGGGAGAUCCAUUGAUGCACUUGCUUUCCAAGUUGGAGCAUUUUAGGUGUUUUCUUUCCUUUGAUUUUAAUGUCUAAUUUUAUGUAUCUUUGUAUUGCAAGAAUGAGGAACUAAACCCCCUUAGUUGGGGGGUGAUUCGAAACCAUGUACAUGCUUGCAAUAUGAUUUGAUUACAUUCAGUUGUUAUUUCAUAAGUUGCGGAUUCAAUUCGUUCAUCUACUUAAUUGAUAACUUAUUUUUGUAUGUUGAUUGAGAGUGCACGCUUAGUUUUCAUGCAUGAAUAUAAUGCUAGAUUAUGAGGGAGUUUCACCUAAUAGUUACAAUCUUAUAAUCACAAGUAGUGAAGGUCGCUUGAAAACGAUCGCGUUGAAUGAAUUCUUGGCACUAGUUUCAUGCUCAUCAUAGUAACGAAUGCCUCGUCAACACUUAUAGUUCUCAUUGUGCUUCAUGAUUCUUGAUUGUAUCUUUAUUGUGCUCAUCACGUAAGGAACCUUUGAGGAAUUCUUUGAAUUGUUGUAUGCGCUUUUCCAUCCAAUUCAUUAACUUAAGGAGAACUUGAAGGUUAAUUUAAGCGUAUCUAAUUAACUUGGGGUGUUGAGUUUCAUAAUUUAUUGAAAGAACAACUGAAAAUCAUUUUGUUUGCAAGUGUGUCAUGUGUGGAGAAGAACCUCCUAACUAGCCUUUUAUCCAUCCUUUUCAUCCAAAAACGUUUUUACAAUCUGUUUUGUUUUAAAGUUUCUGUUUUGUUUUCAAUUUUCGUCCAAAACAAAUCCCCCUUUAUUUUGAAGUCUUAGAUUAGUUAGAAAGUGUUUUGAUUUGUGUUUUCUAAGUGUUUUGAUUCAAGUUUUCAUCCAACUUCGUCCAAGUUCUUGUUAGGUUCUCAAAACUGCCCAGAAAGUGGUUUUUAGGCAGUUUUGAGUCAUUAGGUUGCUGUUUUGAGUUUUAUGUUUGUUUAAGUAUUUUAAAGUAUAGUUUUGCAUUCUUUGAGUCUAGUUUAGUGUUUUAAAUUUUGUUUUUAUGUUUUUAAGUCAGUUUUCAAGUGUUUAGCAAUCCCUCCUAAUCCCCGGCCUAGAACGAUCCCUACUUACAUACUUUACUACAUUUGAUAAAAAGAGGGUUUAAUUUUGUGUGCUAACUUAUUUUACGCAUCAAAUUUUGGCGCCGUUGCCGGGGAUUAGCAACUUUGCUAAUCUCUUGGAUUGUUUUCUUUCGAAUUAUUGUAUUUUGUUUAAGUUUCUGUUUAAGUUGCUGAUUUGUUUUGUUUUCUUUGUUUUUAGGUACUAGUUUAUGACCCAUAGCUCACAACCUGUUCGUGAGCAUAUCUCCAACUUUGACGGUGAUUUUGAGAGGACUUUGAGAAGGAAAAAGAAAUUGCAAGAGUCUAAUCCUCCUAGUCCCGAGCCUGAAUUAGAAGAGCAAGAAGUUGAGGUUGAAGAGAAGGCCACGGCACAAGUGGGUGGAGAAGAGCAAGGUAUAGCCAUGGACAACCGUACGCUCAAGGAGCUUGCCGCCUCGGGUUUGGAUAAUGCCGCACCAUUGUGUAUCCAAUAUCCCAUGGCUGCUUAAGGUAAAACUGAAGAGUUCGAGAUAAAGUCAAGUUUGCUCCACCACAUUCCAAAGUUCCAUGGGCUGUCCAUGGAGGAUCCGAACAAACAUUUGAAGGAAUUUGAAGGAAUUUGAAGUGGUAUGCUCAAGUAUGACUCCAGUUACCGUUGACGGAAGUAUUUUAAAGAUGAAGGCUUUUCCAUUCUCUUUAAUGGACAAAGCCAAGGAUUGGUAUACGAGUUGGCUCCCGGUACAGUUACAUCUUGGGAGAGUAUGAAGAGGGCGUUUCUGGAGAAGUUUUUCCCGACUUCUCGCAUCAUUCUUCUUUGUAAAAAAAUAAGUGGAAUUCAGCAAAGCCAAGGUGAAUCUUUUCCAUCUUAUUAUGAACGAUUUAAAUCACUUGUUGCUUCUUGUCCACAGCAUCAGAUGAAGGAGGAGUUACUUCUUCAAUACUUUUACGAAGGUCUUUUACCACUUGAACGGCAAAUGUUGGAUUCUUCCGCGGGAGGAGCUCUAGUGGAUAAGACACCUAGGGAUGCCAAAACUCUCAUUGCGAAUCGAGCACUCAAUGCACAACAAUAUGAAGGUGUUGGGCAAAGAGACACCCCACGGCCACAUCAUGUCAAUGAGGUAAGUUCUAUUUCUGAGUUACAAUCCCAAAUGGCUAACCUUACGUCUAUGUUAUCGCAGUUUAUUGAAGGCCCCAAAACGCAAGGAACUACAAUCUGUGGUGUAUGCUCCAUUCAAGGACACCAAUCUGAUCAAUGCCCUCAAUUAAUUGAGAAUGGAGGAUGGGAAUCGGCCAAUGCUGUGGGUUAUGGGAAUCAAAACCAACCAAGGAAUGAUCCUUUCUCCAAUACAUACAACCCGGGAUGGCGUGACCACCCCAAUUUCAGAUGGAGAGAUGCACCACAAUAUGGCCAACAAAGUGGAUUCCGACAACCCCCGGGUUUCUUUCCAAGGCCAAUGGAACCACAACCACCUCCUCAGGCACAAUCUUCCCAAACUAACCCAGUUACGUCUAUGAAUGAUGAUAAAAACAUAUCAGUUACUAACCACCAUGGCACAGGGAAUGCAGAACCAAGCAAAGGAGGUUAAUGAGCUGAAGAAGCAAAUGGCCAAAUUUUUGGGGCAAUUCCGUGAAAAUGGUAAGUUACCAAGCACUACGGUGGUCAAUCCAAAGGGUGGCUUCGAAUCUGCAAAGGCUAUCACAUUACGAAGUGGAAAAGAGGUGAGAAACAAGGAAGAUGAGAAGAUACAACUCGAAGAAGAUGAGAACACCUACCCCACGGCAAGGGUACCAUCACCCAUGCCGCAAUCAUCUAAGACAUCCCAUCCGUCCACCUCAGGUAAGAAUGUUCCAAAUGUUGUGAUUUCGAACACUAAUCUGCCCAAUGUCCCCUUUCCUAGCAGAUUUUUGCAAUUAAAGAACGAAGAGGAGGAAAAAGAUGUUCUAGAGACAUUUAGAAAGGUGCAUGUCAACAUUCCCCUCCUUGAUGCCAUAAAGCAAAUCCCGAAGUAUGCCAAGUGUUUAAAGAAGCUUUGUACAACAAAGAAACGUGUCCGGGAGAAAGAGGUGGUACAUGUAAGUGAGAAUGUCUCCGCCAUCUUGCAACAUAAACUACCCCCCAAAUGCAAAGACCCGGGAAGUUUUACAAUUCCAUGUGUCAUUGGUAAUACCCGUUUCAAAUCUGCCAUGCUAGAUUUAAGAGCAUCUAUUAAUGUUAUGCCAUAUUCUGUGUAUGCAUCUAUGAAUCUAGGAGCACUUAAACAUGAUGGUGUAAUCAUACAAUUGGCCGAUAGAUCUAACGCUUAUCCAAAGGGAGUUUUGGAAGACGUUUUAGUGCAGGUUGAUCAUUUAGUCUUCCCAGCGGAUUUCUAUGUCCUCGAAAUGGAUGAAUUGGACCAUGCCCCUUCAUUGCCCAUCCUUCUUGGAAGGCCAUUCAUGAAAACGGCUCAAACGAAGAUUGACGUGGCCAAAGGAUUAGUCACUAUGGCAUUUGGUGGUGACAUGAUUAGUUUUAAAAUUUCUGAAUCCAUUGAGACUCCUAAUAUUGUUCAUUCUUGUUGUGCCAUUGGUAAAAUUGAAAAGAUAAGACCGGACCAUUCAGCACCAAGCACGAAGGAUGCAUCAAGAACCAUGCAAGACGAGGGAAUUGGAGUGGAGUACAAGGACCAUACGGCCACUGCCCUCAAAAUGCUCAAAGUGGCCGAAAGCACCAUGGGGAAGAAUGUUCACAUUGCUGCCACUUCAUCACAUCACAUAGGUAAGCCACCUAAUCCAAAUCCAAUGCCAUUUAAAGUUGAUAGGUGGUUCCCUUCUUUGGUGCAGGUACCUAAGCAAAUCCCCGAUGGUGGGCGUAUGAACAUGAACCUUAGACAACACAACGCACCCAUCAACAAACAUCACUAUCCAUUUCCGUUCAAGGAUGUAAUCUACGAGAACUUUGUGGAGCAUGUUGUGGAGGAUAUCCCACUGCAUGCCGUGGGUUCCAAGGAGAAGUGAAGGUGUUCAUCGUCCGGCUGGAAGACGUUAAAGCAAGCGCUUUAAGGGAGGCAACCCAUUUAUUCUGCUUGAUUGUCAAUUUUAUUACUUGUUUAAUUAUUUUUUGUUAUGAUUUUCUAUUUUGAAAUAUUAACAAAUAUGCAAGGGAUUUUUGACAUUAAACUUCAUGAAAUGAACAGGAAUCUGGGAAAUAAAGAAACAUAACAUAAUACAAGAGGAAGAGCCUUCACAAAGGCUGCUUGGGAGAGGUCGUAGUAGUUGGCGGAGUCUCAGCAGUCGGUGGGGCCACGGAAGGAGGAGGUAUCAGAGGUUGAUCAGUUGGAGCUUCACUGCGCGGUGCCAUCCUAGAAGACGAAGGCAGAUGCUGUUGGAACAAACCCACAAACCUCCGGUGAUCAAGUAAAAUCUGACCAUCAGUUUCCUGCAGCUGGUCAAUUUUCCUCUUCAUGUUUGUGGCAUAAAUGUGUGCAAGCUUAUGCAAUUGUUUAUUUUCAUGCUUGAGUCCUCUAAUCUCCUCUUUGAGACUCUGUAUUUCAGCCACCAACGAUUCAACAUGACGGGUUCGAGCAAAUAGGCGUUGGGCCAUGUUGGACACAGAACCCGCACACUGCACGCUAAGAGCCAGAGACUCCUUAACCGCCAAUUCAUCAGACCGUCUAGCGAGCAGUCUGUUAUCUCUGGGGGUGACAAGGUUCCGGGCCACCACCGCAACGGUCAUGUCAUUUUUCAUCACCGAAUCCCCAACGGUGAGGGGACCGGUAGGGGAUAUGAAGGAUGGGCGCCAUAUGUUGUCUGGUGAAGGCGGAGCUGCCUCUUCACCAAUGUUCAAGUCAAAACGACGAUCGGAAGGGCCAGACAUUUUUCAGAGGUGAUGAAGAAAGAAGAGAGUCGGACUAAUUAAGAUUUUGGAAGUGCAAGAAGGGAGUGUUUACAGAAGGGAGCUCAAGUGUGUUGUGGAACAAAAUUAACGCCUCUAUAAAAAGAAGAAAUCAAAGAGGCGCUCCUCAGAAAUCGAAGAAGCGUCCUCUCGCAAAUCGAAGAGUCGAGGCUCCUUUCUCAAAAGCCGAAUUCUUUUCUCAAAAGAGGCGUUUCAUUUCUCAAAAAAUGGGCUUGCUCAGAAACCACGAGCCGAACCCCGGAUUUCAAAAGAUCAAUUUGUCCAGACGUGUCGUCACUCGUCACAUGCAACUUGCAGCUUUGCGGAAAUUACGGGCAGCUUUGUCAGAAAGCGCGUAAUUUGUACUAUUCAUCCAUCCACCGGCUGCCGACAAUGAGUGAGAGAAUAGUUCCGGUUGUGAAGAAAAGCCCUAUAAGUAUCUACCUUCGCCUUCCACAGCAAAGGCACACCCUCUCAGCACUUCUUCAUCUCUCUGAAAUGGCUUUCCAACAAACCCUAUCGAGUCACUCAGUGUUCCUUAUUCCCUGGGAUACCCCUGGGAUACCCCUGCCGACAAUGAGUACUCAUCAUCUUAUGUUUCCGCUUCGUCUCUCACGCAUAAGGGAAGUGAAGAUGAUACCUUGAAGCAUGUGGAGACAACGUGCUGAUUCAUCCUCAACUAGGGACAAGGAGAAAGAGAGCAAGAGGUGGGGGCACUUGGAAAGAUUGAAGAAAGAAAUAGACCAACACCUUUGCCUCGUGCCUGCCCACCGUGCAGAAGAAACAAGCAGAGAAGAAUGCAGACUGCACUCUGAUAUUCCCCGCUCAGAAUUCCAAACCAAUUCAAGAUCAAAGCUGUGGAAAGUCAACAAGAUCAACUAUCUCCAAAACCAGAUUUGCGUUCUUAAACUCUACUCUGUCUGGUUUUUACUUUGCCAUAUUUGUCAUGUUUAUUUGUCGUUUGUUAUUUGCUUGUUUUUGGUGUGAGUAUAUGCUUGAAACAUUGAGGACAAUAUUUGAUUUAAGUGUGGGGGGGGGGGUAACUAGUGUUUUGCAUAAAAUUCGUAGAAAAUUAUCACCCAUUACUUCUAGUGUUGUUCCUUACUGUUUUAAGUAUUUUUUUAAAGCUGUUUUGGAGUAUUUCAGUGUGUUUUGACAUAAAAAUCCGAAAAUUCAUAAAAAUUUGAAAAAUUGUUUUUGAAAAUCCCAAAAAGAGUUGUUUUUGUGUGCUUAUUUGUGUCUUAGGGUACCUUUAUUUAUUCUUUAUUUAUGCGUGAUUGUGGUUAUAACUUAUGAAAUCACACGUAAUCAUAAAAGAAAAAAAAAUUAGUUUUUUUUGUAACAUGCUUCAAGGAAAGAACUCAAACUAAUGCUACAACCUUGUGAGACUUGAGCCUAAAUGUUUAUUUGGAGAGUUAAAAUCUGUGCUUUAUUGUUUUCUAAAGUCGUUGCAUGAUCUCAUUAUUCUUUGCUUGGUUAUUACUUAGAAGGCGUUUCAUCAUUUAGUUCCAAAUGCUAGAACUCAUGCCUAUUUCAUUCAAAGCAUGCUAUUGAUUUGCAUAACACAUAUUCAAGAUGAAGUUGUGUAGUUACCACCACCAAAGCCAAACUGCCAUGUAUCCCAUAUCGUUAUAUGUUUAAGUUAACCCCAUUGAGCCUUGAUAGCCUACAUUCUUUGUUAAACCACAUUAUCCUUACCUAUCCUAGUUUAGGACCAUCCACCCUUGUUCUUGAAGCAUAGUGAAGUAUGAGUCAAAUUGAAUUCCUUUUGAUUAAUGUAUGGCAGAAAACAAGUGUGGGGGAAGUGAUUCUUGUGUGUGUGUGUAUGCCAAAAUCAUUCAUAAGGCAUGAGUAGAAAAGAAAGAUUCGUGAAAAAUAGAAUGAAAAGAAGAAGAGAUGUGAAAAGAAAAGGAGUUGAAAAAUAUGUGAAAAAGAGUUUUAAAGUGUUGCUUGUUGAAGAAAGGGUCCAAAACAUUGAAUUCGGCCCUAAAUAUUGCUUGAAUCUUCCCUUCGUGUUUAAAAGUUGAUUACUGCAAUCUAAGUGAAUUCUAAGUUUCCAUUUCAUUACUUUUCUUGCUAUUGCUUUAAGAACGUUUGUUAUCCCUAUCCUUCAUUUGUUAGCCAACACCCCAAGCCCGUUACAACCUUUGACUUCAAUCUUGAGUGUUAUGUGUUUCAAUUUGUGGAGUUUGAAUUUGGUAUGAGCAUAUGGUGUCACUGGUUCUCGCGUCUAAGUAAUAGCAUUCUAUUCAUGAGAUCAUAUCUAAACAUGCUUAUUAACUCCAGAAAUUGCUUUCUUUGUGAUACAUAUAUGUGAGCAUUCGUUUUCAUAUCUACAUCAAUCUUCUCACAUAUACUAGUAUAGGGUGUGUAGUUGGAAAAUCUGAGUGAAAAUUGAGUGCAUAUCUUGUAAGGAAUUGAGCGAAUUCUCUAAGGCAUGUUACUACAUCAAAAACAUUGUUUUAAUUGAUUAAUUGUGAACUAGUAAGUGGUGACUAUGAUUAAGUAUGUGCUUAAGUGUAAAGAUGACUCAAAUCUGUGGGGAUAAUGAUUUUUAACAUGUCAUGUGCAUUGGAAAUCACUGAGGCAAAUGUUGGAAGGUUUAGGUUGUGUUUUAUUUGUUUUGUUUCGUUUUAUUUCUUUGUUUUGCUCGAGAACUAGCAAAAGCUAAGUGUGGGGGAAUUUGAUAGGAGCAUAUUUAUGCGACUUAGUUGGCUUGUUCUUGUGCAUUUAUGUCGUGUUUCCUUAGUUAUUUUAAUGUUUAAAGUCAUUUUCGUGUGUUUUCAGACUUUAAGUACAAAGUAUGCAAGAAGAUGCAUUUUGGAGGCCUUUGUAGCAUGUUUCGGGCUUGGAAUGGAUAGCAAAUGCAUGGGCCAAGUGGAUGGACGAAUUUGAGAACUAAAGAUGCCAAGAAUAUGAAGAAUUAUGGUCCAAAAGAUGAAGAAAACAGCCCAAAAAUCUGUCACCCCAACUUGCAUUCCUUGCCAUGCAAACCACAUAGAAUUCCCUUUGGAUUCCAUGCCAUGCUUGAUCACUCUUGUCCCCUACAUAAUUUCUAAUUUCAUGCUUCAAUUCAUUUAAUUAUUACACUCAAUUGCUUGAUACCUCUUGUUCCCUUCACUCAUUAGAUUUUAGACAACAUUUACAUCCAUUACAUGCACCAAUUGAUGCUCCAUCAUUCACAUUUGGAAUCCCAUGCCUUGUGUACCAUAUGUUGCUGCACCUUUGACCCAUUUAUUGACACAUUUUCACCUCCCUUUCCAUCUCUAUGCAAUGUACACAAUCAUUCAUGCCCCCUAGCUACAAGACCACUCCAUUUUACCCUUCACACUUUGCAUCAUCACUUCAUUUUCACCCUUGGACCAUUGCACACCACACACACAAAUUGCCAUGCAUUUCAUCCUUAACCUAACCUGAUUUUCUAAGGUUUUUGGGGCCUAUAUACUCAAGACUUUUUCGACGCACCAGUCGAAAACAUUAUCUAGAAAAAUUUUGGCGACCGCCCGAAGAGGACUUCACCCCUUCAGUUGCUUGGAAAUAGCAUACCAAUGGGCCAGCAGUCGUUCCAUGGUACAUGAAACCACGGCCCGGCGUCUGUCUUGUUUUCCUUAAGACAUUAGUAUCUGCGAUCAAGUCGGCCAACCCAAAUCUCUUCGAAUCUUGAUGGACAGUCUCGGCGCCUACCUCGAUGGCUUUCUAUACCGAAAUUCAAGUUGGCCGUCCUUUCUCGUUCAAACUCUAUAAGGUAAUAUAGCCAACGUGAUCAUCGUAAUACCGUGCCUGAAUCAUAUGGGCUUCAAACGGCUAAUUGUCGGCUGAAUGAACCACAAUAGAUUUGCCAUCCCAAAAAAUGAGAACUUGAUAUAAUGAAGAGGGAAUACAAUUUGCUUGAUGGAUCCAAUCCCGACCGAGCAAUGCAUUAUACUCAGUCUUGGAAACAACGAUAAAGAAUGAGGUCAUGUGAUUGCGUCCUACAAUGCUUACCUCCAAAGGAAGUACUCUUUUGGUCUGAGACUUGUCGCCGACAAAGCUGCUCAUGGUUAUUCCUGAUGGAAUAAGUUCGUCGCAAUGCAUUUAUGACGGAUACGUGCAUGAUAUUAACCGUAGCCCCACAAUCGACGAAGAUUUUGGAGAUUGGAUAGCCUUCAAUGUAAGCCGUGACAUACAACGACUUCAAAUGUUGAAGAUUAACCAAAGAAGAGUGGGGAAAGUACAACCAGAGCUGCUUUAAGUUUAUCGGCUUUACUCGUUUGCUCAUCUUCCUCGGUGGCAAUAAAAUCAACUUGUGUUGCUUCCUUGACAACCACAUCCCUAUCCAAGGAAUUUGGUUAGUGUGUGGUUGGCUGAAAUUUAGCAGGUAAGACAUGGACCAUGCUGAUUUCCAUAUUGUCAAGGACUGAAUGACCCAUCGGGUCUUGGUCGUUGUCCUCUAAGUUAUCGAGUACGGUAUCAUGCUUUGGAGCAUCCUCGACUUGAUCAUCCCUUGCCUCAUCGGGUACCUGCUCUUGUGGUAUGUCAACUGAACCUGUUUCAUUCUGGCUGCCGUCCUCGAGCUUGUUCAUUGCUGGGGUUUGAUUUUUUCCUUGCAAUGCUUUACGGACUCGUUCCGCAUAGGCGAUUCGGGCAUUGCUUAUGUCUAGGUACGCAUCCAAACGCUCCACAUGAUCUUUCUCAUUGGCCGUAAGGCCAAAAAGAGAUACGGCUGAGUGAUAGGAGCAUAUUUAUGCGACUUAGUUGGCUUGUUCUUGUGCAUUUAUGUCGUGUUUCCUUAGUUAUUUUAAUGUUUAAAGUCAUUUUCGUGUGUUUUCAGAUUUUAUGGACAAAGUAGGCAAGAAGAUGCAUUUUGGAGCAUUUUGGAGCAAAAUGGGGCUUGGAAUGGAUAGCAAAUGCAUAGGCCAAAGUGGAUGGACGAAUUUGAGAACUAAAGAGGCCAAGAAUAUGAAGAAUUAUGGUCCAAAAGAUGAAGAAAACAGCCCAAAAAUCUGUCACCCCAACUUGCAUUCCUUGCCAUGCAAACCACAUAGAAUUCCCUUUGGAUUCCCAUGCCAUGCUUGAUCACUCUUGUCCCCUACAUAAUUUCUGAUUUCAUGCUUCAAUUCAUUUAAUUAUUACACUCAAUUGCUUGAUACCUCUUGUUCCCUUCACUCAUUAGAUUUUAGACAACAUUUACAUCCAUUACAUGCACCAAUUGAUGCUCCAUCAUUCACAUUUGGAAUCCAAUGCCAUGUGCAACACAUGUUGUUGCACCUUUGACCCAUUUGUUGACACAUUUCACCUCCCUUUCCAUCUCUAUGCAAUGUACACAAUCAUUCAUGCUCCCUAGCUACAACACCACUCCAUUUUACCCUUCACACUUUGCAUCAUUACUUCAUUUUCACCCUUGGACCAUUGCACACCACACACACAAAUUGCCAUGCAUUUCAUCCUUAACCUAACCUGAUUUUCUAAGGUUUUUGGGGCCUAUAAAUACAUGUUUACACCCCUUGGCCAAAGGACAAUCCCCCAUAUUCACCAUUCAUCACAGAAAUUCGUCCAUACUCACCCUAGGUAGCAAAACACCCCAAAAACACCAUUCUAUUGCCUAGAAAACAUAACAGCCACUCCACCUUCUUCCACCCUCUUUGCCUAGUUCUCCACCACCCUCCAACCAUCAAACACUCCUCCACACUCACCCUAAACCCUUCCAUACCAUUCCCCAUCCAUUCUACAUCAUAAAACUACCCAAAAUCUGUCCAUAACCCAAUCUGCCGCAAGCAAGGGAAAGGAGGAAUCUUGGAUGCACUUGCUACCAAGUUGGAGCAUUUUAGGUGUUUUCUUUCCUUUGAUUUUAAUGUCUAAUUUUAUGUAUCUUUGCUUUGUGAGUAUGAGGAACUAAACCCCUCUUAGUUAGGGGGUGAUUCGAAACUAUGUUCAUACUUGCAAUAUGAUUUGAUUACAUCCAGUUGUGAUUCAUAAGUUGUGAAUUCAAUUUACUUAUCCGUUCAUAUAAAAACUAAUUUGUAUGUAUGUUGGUUAAGAGUGCACGCUUAAUUUUCAUGCAUGCAUGAAUUUGACGCUAGAAUAUAAGGGAGUUUCACCUAAUCGUUAUAAACUUAUAUUCACAAGUAGUGAAGGUUGCUAGUCACAAUCACGUUAAGUAAACUCUUGGCAUAAGUUUCAUGCAAAUCAUAGUAACGAGUGCCUCGUCAAUGCUUAUGUUUUUCAUAGAACUUAAUGAUUCUUGCUUGUAUCUCUAUUAUGCAAUUCAUGUAGGGAACUUGUAGGGAAUGUUUUGGGUUGUUGUAUGCAAUCAUCCAACCUAAUAACUUGUGGAAAAAACUGAGGGUUAAUUAGUGCAAUUCACGGUUAAUUUGGGGCGUUGAGUAUUCAUAGCUUAUCGAAAAGCAACUGGAAAUCGUUUUGUAUGCAAUGCAAGUGUGACAUAUGUGGAGAAGAACCUCCUACCUAAUCUUCCAUCCAUAAGUUUCAUUCAAAUUCACUUACAAUCUGUUUUGUUUUACAAAGUUUGUUUUGUUUUCAAAUUCAUUAAAACCAAAAUCCCCCUUUUACUUUAUUGUUUCAAAGUGUUUAAUUUCUGUUUUGGUUGUGAGUUAGAGUGUUUUGAUUCACCCAAAUUUGUCUAAGAAUUUGUUUACUUUGUUCUUGUCUUAAUUUAAUUAUUUUCGUCAAAAAUCAACCCCAUCUUAUUUCUUUGAGUCAUAUUAAUUAGAACUUGUCUUAGAUUAUGUUUUUAAGUGUUUUAGUUCAUUAGAAAACCAAAAUUUGUCCAAGUUUGUGUGAGAGUCCCAAAAUUGCCCAGAUUGUGUUUUUAAGGUAGUUUUGAGUGUUUAGGGGCUGUUUUGAGUCUUUUGGUUUGUUUUAGUGUUUUAAAGUAUAGUUUUGCAUUCUUUGAGUCUAGUUAGUGUUUUAAACUUUGUUUUUACGUUUUCAAGUCAGUUUCCAAGUGAUUUAGCAAUCCCUCCUAAUCCCCGGCCUAGAACGAUCCCUACUUACAUACUUUACUACAAUUGAUAAAAAGAGGGUUUAAUUUGUGUGUUUAGUUAUUUUACGCAUCACUGAGAAGACUUCGAAAUGAUGUCGUAAAUACUAAAAGUCUUCAAAAGAAAAAAUGAGCUCAACGGUGUCUAUGUCUGUGUACGGGUCGACCUCAAAACUGAGGACCUGAGCUUCACAUAUGUGCUAGAACCUGGCUUUCAUUGCUGGAUCAGUGGUUUUCUGGAUAAUUUGUUCAGCAUUAGGGCAAGUUAGUGCCAGGUCAAGGGCUUCUUGACAUGCCUUAGGUAGGCCAUACAAGUCAUUGGCAGAAUGUUUCUUGUGAAAUUCUCGCAUGUACUCCAAAGAUUGGUUAAGGAAUUGAGGGUGUAGAUUCCACCGAACUCUUAUUAACGACUCUUGUGGGGUUAAUGGGGGGAGUUUUCUUUCGGCUUCUUUUCUAAAAUACUUGAAACGAGUUUUCAUCUCCCCGAGCUGAAGGAAGAGUUUUCCUGCUGCUUCUUUCAGCUGCCAUUUGGUAGCCGAAGUGGCAUGUGCUGUUUGUCGUCGAGCCAUGCAGUCUAUCCGCUAGUGUCGACAUUUCUGAGAUUUGGAUGAUGCAGUAUACAUGCUAGUGGGAGAAUUGUAACUAUACCAACGUUGGUCGCGUGGCUCAAGUGGCUUGAAGGUUUUUUGAUUCACCGAUGAACUUGAGCUGCUAGAGUUAUGCGAGUAAUAAUCCUCAUUAUAAAACGGUACAUCGAAAACAAGACGUCGUUUCGCUGAGGUGAGGUCGUCCGUUCGUAUGUGAGGGCCGAGCCUAUCAAACACUUUCUGGCGCUGGCCUCCGCCAAGUUCCUUUGGAGGUGUUACCGCGGCCUCGGAUGGUUGUCGUGGUGUUGGAACCUAAUGUGGUCUCUCCUUUGGUUCGGUUAGGACAACGCGUGCUUUACAACUGCUGCACAAAACCAUCGGUCCAUCAAUUUCUUAUGCACUGGAGUCUGACAUAGAUUCGAUUAUGGUUGGCCCCGAAAACUCUAUGGGUGGUUUGUUAGAAAAUAAAUCAAUCUUGAGUCGUGGCCAAGAGUUCUGCUUUGGGACAUGUUGUAUUGGAACGAACUAGGCCUUCCCUUUCCCUUUGCUCUUGGGAAAAUGAGCAUUUACCAUGCCAACUGUCGUCGAGAAGAAGGGAUCAACGUUAAUAAUCAUCUGUUUUUCAGGAAAUUUGAGCUUGCCUUUAUCAAUCCAGCUUUGAAUAGCAUCACAGAAUACAACGUUGUUGUUUAUAAUAUGCUUAUUCAAGUUAUGGUACUUGCAAUACAUUUUCCUUUCAACUCUUCGGCCUUAGGAAUGCUAUGUCCUGGCCGAAGUUUGAUGAUCUUUGCCAGCAACAACUGGUUGAAAAUGGCAUCAGCCUUGGUGAUAUCAAAAGUGUAAACUUUUUAUGUUUUAACUAUCUCUUCAGAGGCCGAGCGGGUUCUGGCAUCCUUGGAAUUAAUUUGAGCCAAUGCCUUGCAAACGUACGGUUUAUCUAUCACCAUCUCGACCCCGUCCACACUGAUGUAUUGGGAAUCCUCGCCUUCCGUUGAUGCGUAGCUAACCGUGGGAUUUUUGUAAAUCGUUCCCAGGAUGGGGACUUCGAGAUCUUUUCCUCUCAGAGUAAAUAAUCAUAUUGCUCGACGUGCUGGGCUAGGUGGUACAUAUCUCGGAAAUUUUCCCCCAAGAAUUUAUUUUUAUAUUCCAUAUCCAAGUCAUUCAGAGCGAUUCUGACGAAUUCAACUUCAGGGAGAGGUACUCGGCACUAGUUUAUGGCCGAUUUGAACCUCAUUAAGUAUUCCAUUGGUGAUUCGUCAGACGCCUGGGCCAUUCUAGCCAGUGAUGAGACUGAGAUUUCCAUCCCCGGCCGAUAGAAUUGUUCAUGGAACUUUUCGACCAGUUCCUCCCAACUUUGGAUGGAAUUUAACGGGAGGUUAAUGUACCACGUGAAUGCCGAGCCUGUCAAUGAGAAGUUGAAUAAUCGUAGUUUAUGGAAGUCACUAUUCACAUCUCUGCAUUGCGCAGUGAACCGGGCCACGUGUUCUAACGAGGACAGAGACGAUUCUCUAGCAAAAAGGCUGAAGUUAAGGAUCAUAAAGCCUUUGGAAUAUUUGAACUUUUCCACAUAAGCUAGAUAUGGAUGGAUAAAUUUUAGGAACUUCGACCCCUUUUUCAAGGCCAAAUCGAUCAUCCUUUGGACCUCGAUCAUAAUGACGGAUGUUGUUUCUACUUUCUGGUCGGAUUCGUCUGUCCUGAUGCUUGAUCCUCUUUUUUUUUCCAAGUUAAUUGCUUUGAGCCGAAUAGAUCUUGUUUCGGCCUGUAGCGGAUUACUCUUGAAUGGAAGUUGUCGAGUACGCUGCUGACUUCUUAAUCUUGCGACUGCGGCCGAGGAAGGAACAUGCCUCAGCCUUCAGGUUCUAGAGCAUGAAAACAAGGUUGCUAGUUCUACUAAGUUCAUAACUCGUCGGCACCGGAUUCAAUCACACUAAUUAUAUUCAUAAAAUUAUAAGCACGCCAAAUCGACACCAAACUAUAUGGGCACAAGUACUCAAAGCAAAUGUGGGUCUUAAUCGUAAACAUAGUUCGGCCGUCAGAAUGCCGAACUCUAAAUCCCACUUGUGAGUAUCUAAUCAUAAAACAACUCGACGUUCAAUGUGCCGAGCCUAGUAAUCUGUAACACCUAAUGAGAUGACCUCUACCAAUAAGGAUUCGAAUAUCCAUCUCGACCAAGACUUGGAUAGAUAAUCAGUCGAGCUCGACGCAGUGCUGUUUAUCCAAACUGAAGGUGCUCUGCGAUCGACUGAUUCUACGGCAACAGUGUUGUUUAUCCAAACUGAAGAUAUUCGCCAGUUGCCUUCACAGUGCUGUUUAUCCAAACUGAAGAUGUGUCAACGAAAAAUAAAAAUCUCAAAGUUGUUGAGAGGUUUCGCGUAGAGCGAGAGUUUGCACAGGGCAGUUUGUGCAUUGAGUAGGAGAGCCCUUAAAAUGAUGCACCCCUUCCUUAUUUAUAGCAGCCAACCUUAUCAUGGUCGAACCAGAACUAUACCCAGAUUAGGAUUCUUUAUCCUAAUCUAACCACGUCUCGGCCACUCCCACCUCCAUUAGGACUUUGAACGAAACUCUUUAUCCGGCCGCAUUCACUUCUCAGAUCUCAGCAUCCUCAUUCCAUUAAGACUCCUUAUCAUACUAAGACUCGACCCAUUCGCUCUUAUCCAAUCCAAUCCCUCUUGCAAUAGGACUUGACCGACCUGACUAGGUGGCUUAUGACCACUGGACGACCCAUAGUAUUUUAUUCAAAGCUUCGGACCGAAUAUAAAACCUAUGCUCGGCCCAAUAAUAUUAUUUUGGGCCCAAACAGGAGGAGACAACCAUUAUGAAAUUAGUUUUUUUUUUUUUUUUUAUCUGUUCAAUUCCCUUAAUGAUCUUAAUGCCUAUGAUUCUUGCUUCAAAUGGUUAAAGGAAGUUUUUGUUCUUUUCAUCUUUAAUGUCAUGCAUUCUUGAUAGUUUUGAAGCCAAAUUUCAUUGAACCAUGCUUGAUUUUGUAAUUCUUAACUAUGAAUUACUUUGAUCAUGAGUCAUUCAAACAUUAUUCUUCACAUACGAUGCUUGGCAUGCUUUGGUCUUAUGAAGUUCAAGAAUUUAACUAUGUUUAAUGCUACUUAGUGAGUUGGGAAUUGUUAGAUAAAUAAUUAGGAAUUUAUGGAUUAAUAGGAGUGGAAUCCGAUACCUUGGUUAAUUCUCUCAUUUAUUUUCUUCACUAAUUUCUUAUUCAUAUGAUUAGCUUCCUCAAGAAAACAACUUUUCUCCAACUAGGUUAGCAUUAAAUUAAUUCGGGUUUGAUUAGUUUUUCAUCAUUUUCAUAAAAUCUCACUCUUCUAUAUUUCAAUAGAUUCGUACGCUUGCGUUUUACCAAUUUUUGGCAUAACAAUUGGCUCGGACAACAGUGGUGGAUUAGACAGGCACUCCUUCAAUUUCGUGAAAGACUAUUCGUCGGUCCAAUGUAGAUCUUUAUACUUUUUUAUGGCAUUGAAGAAUGACUUGCACUUGUACGUUACCUUGAAAGAAAUCGAUUUAGAAUAUCUGCUCUUCCAAUUAAACUUUAAAUCUCCUUCACUGUCCGAGGGGACUUCAACUCCAUAAUAGCCUUGAUUCUGCGCUUGGUUACCAGGUAACCUAAGAAAUUUUUUGAUGCUACUCUUAAGGUGCACUUUUUCAGAUUAAGCUUCAUGUUGCAUUUCUUGAGCAGGUCAAAAGAUUCUUGCAGGUGAAUGAGGUGGUUCUUAUUCACCUUUCUUUUAGUUGUCGACGUAUACUUUCAUCAUCUUUCCGAUCUUCUCCUUGAAGAUUUGAUUUAUCAACCUUUGAUAGGUUGCCCCUACAUUCUUAAGUCUAAAAGGCAUAACACGAUAGAGACAUAUACUCAUGCCCCCUUGCUGUCUAACUCUAGAUGCUGUCACGUGGCAAGCUAGCCACUCAUUGGAUGCCACGUGGCACUUACUCAUUGGCCCAACAUGUAUAUUACCUUAAAAUUCAUCCGAAUUAUUAUAAGAGGAAUUUAAUUUAUUUUCAUCCCGUUUCAAUUUCCUUUUAUUUUAUUCUUGUUUUUUAGUUCGCGUGCUGGGAGCGAUGUUAUUUAUUUUUUCCACCAACUCCGAGUCCGAGGCAUUACAGAAUGGUCAAUGUGAUUGGUACGUGAUUGCUUGCUUUAGAAUCCAGGUACGGGAAAUAUGGCAGACCUUUAUGGAGAUUGAUCAUAUUAAAUUUCGUGGAAUGCUAUAUUAUUAUUCAUUUCAUUGGUUGAUUAAUGUGAUUUGAUGCUAAUUGGAUAAAUUCUUCUCUUGGGUGUACUUGUGAAAUACUAUUCAUUGAACAUAUAGUGUGAUACAUGUGAAAGAUGAAAUGACGUAAUUUUUUGCAAGGCAGGUGAUAGACAAGUUGAGAUUGUGUUAGACGAGGGAUUUAAGAGUUUUAUUUUAUUUUUGUAAACCUUGUAAGGUUUUCGGAUUAUUUGAAUAAGAGAAGUUUAGUUUUUUCGUUUUAUUUUACUUUUACUCUCGCGCCAGGCGCGGGAUUAAUAUUUUGAACGACCCUGGGUCCAGGGCGUGACACAUACCUAUAUCAAUGACCAAUGAUGUUUUUUUCAUGUUCAGCUCGUACAUCUUGAUUUAGUUGUAUUCGAUAUAUGCAUUCAUGAAGUUCAGCAACUCGUGCCCCACUGUGGAAUCGGUAAACAAGUCUACUUGGGGUAAAGGAUAAAGAUCCAUGAGGCAUUCCUUGUUUAUUAAUUCCAUGAAUCCUACACAGAUUUUCUACUUGCCAUUCUUUUUCAACACAAGGACUGUGAUUACAUAGGGAGAAUCCGUAUUAAAUAGAGAGAAUCCCAAAGUGUAUAUAGCAUAAGAUAUUGCUUCCUUAUAGGAUUGUGAUUACUUGUGGUGCACGUCAAUGAUUGACGGUCAAUCCUUAGAUUGUAGGAAUGUCCAAUAAUAUAGGAAACCAAAGCAAUCCCCAGUCAAAUCAGACUUCCUUGUCUUGCAAAACAAGUAUGGUCGAUCUCGACGAGGCCUACGAGCCUUGCCAACCAUUCUGGAGCCCAACAAGGUGUGGUGGCACCAUUAGUCCGUUUAGACAGCUUAAUCUAAUUCGGAGCCAUUGAGUUCUUAACCAAACUUCUGAGGCAUUAGUAUUCCAAUCCACGUCACUCUGGCAAAAAAAAUAUGUGGUCCCACAACUAAUGUUUAUCACUAGAUUUUCUAAUGGAUUUCACUUUCUGUAAGAAAGUUAAUAAUAGCAAACAGUCACAAACUAGUAAUUAGCCCUAGAGAACAACAUAACUCAUGGGCGCAUGCUAACAUGCACAAUCAGGUUAGUGCACAAAAUCUUGUCCAACUAACACAGCGAAAUAUUCAAUAAAAGAAUGGACAAUAUAUGUUAUUACUUUCUUAUUGUACAAUCAUCACAUGUAACUCUAAUCUAUCUAUAUCUAUACUACUCAUUAAUAGAACUCUCUUUGUCAACCAAAGUUUUAGAAAAAUACUAUUAUACCCUUCCAGGUAUAACUGAAAGAAAAUAUAAAACAAAAAUAAAAAAUCAUGGGCAUUAAAGUAAUUUCACACAAAAAAAUUUUGGUAUUUUUUUCUUUCCCUUGCCCACAUGUUAUGAAAGCUCUCUUUAAUUUAAAUAAAAUAAAAAAUACUCCAACUUCUCUCUUUCAUAUAUUUUUUCUUUUUAAAUCUUUUAUAUUAUAUACACAUAUAGUGUGAGGGCUUCAUCUAAUAAUAAUAUUAUUAAGAAAACCCAGCUUGUUAACCAUUAUUGUAAGUGUAUAUUCCAGUGUUCUAAAACGCGCUCUAGGCAGUCGUCUAGGGGGCGCCUAGGCGCUAGACGUGCUCCGCCACGAUUAACCUGAAAUCGUUUAUUAAAUCGUCAAGGCAAUUAGGCGGUGUAAGGCAGACGCCUAGGCGGGAAGACGGACGCUAGGCGGGCGAGACGGAAGCUAGACGGUCUGGGAGGCCUGGGAAAAUACGAAUUCCUACCCAGAAGCAGUCAAACGUUGGGCAAUCUGGGCGCUCUGUGUCUUGCCGUCUUGUCUUCUCGAGUCUCGCCGUCUUGUCUAACAAAGUCCUAGUGUGACGAUGCUAUACGAGACGAGACAAGAGAGAGAGAGAGAGAGAGAGAGAGAGAGAGAGAGAGAGAGAGAAUGCAUCUGUAAUUGCAGAUAUGCUGACGGCGGUAAUGAUUUUAGAAGUGAGCAACUUUAGAAUAGAUUUUUCAGUGUGACCGGUAUAAAACAUGGUACAUCACUUGUCAUUAUACAAAUUGUGGGAUAUAUGUCGUAAAAAGUUAAUAACUUAAAAAAUAAAAUUUCCCACCAUUUCUAUCAAAACAUGUUGUGUACCACUUGUAUUCCCGUUACAAUGAAAAAUUUCUCUAACUUUAGUUAGGGUUUUGUUUUCUAAAGGUGAGUUGGUGACUGGGAUGGCCAUAUGGGAGAUUUAAUGCUUCAGGCUCCUACAUAUAGAAUACUUCGGGCAUUUGAACCACUAUAUCUUGAAUUUCGUAUUUUUGAACAAAAAAAUAUCUACUUAAAAAUCCUGAUCAUUCCAAAUUCCGGAGCACUAUUAAAAAUCAAAUAUAUAACUUCGUCUUCAUACUAGCGUAGAUUAGUAGUUGCCCCUUUUUUUUUCGGAUAAAACCUCAAAGUCAAUCUCACUCCAGCAUUACUAUCAUGAGAAAGUGACAAAGAGGUAACUUUAUUUUAUUUUUUAUUUUUUAUUUUUUUUAACAAAUGAUAUUAUUUACACUAAAGGGUGGGAGAGUGGGCUAAGUCUCACAAUGAGUAAAGCCUCAGAAUGGACUAGCAAUAAUAUGAUCUAAAUUCGCCUUUGUCAAGAAUUGAACCUAAGACCUCUAACUUAGAAGUGUAGAUCAAUACCACUAAACCGUAAUAGUAAUUGACAAAAGGUAACUUUAUUAAUAAAGUAGAAAAUUACAAACAGCCAAGGUAGGCAUAAAGUCUACCCUAACCAUGAUAGCAGCCAUAAGAAACAAACCCUCCGGCCAACAAAAGAUAACCUAUCUAAACGGUAAUGUAGAAGUUCUACAUAAUCACAAUGAUAAUACGGUAAUAUGAAAUCAAAGACUUCAAGGACUUCAUAGUUACCCUUUUCAUUACAACUAUUUGCAUCCUGCAAGCAUAUUCCAGAUGCAAAUUAUAAAAUAAAUAGGCACUAAUUAUUGUUGUCCUUGUGAAAACCCUUCUUUUGUAGUAUGAUUUCUGUCAUCCGAAACUUUUCUUAAUUUUAGGUAAACUUAUGUUGCUAUCCUAUUCGUAAUUUCUUGACGACAUGCAGCCCUUUCAAUGACCCAAUGUGAGUCAAUUGGCACUCUGUGGAUGGAGCCCUAUCAUGCAGAAAAAUUUGUGGCAGCAUAUCGUCUCUUUUCAUGUGAUGUGCAUGCAUAGAGUUUAUUCUCUGCUCUCUCAGAUUCUGAUCAUUCUUCCAAGGUCUAGCAUGCACUUGGGGUUCACUACUCAAUGAGUAUCUUAGUCACGAGACUCCUACCACCACAAGAAGAUUGUCAUCAUACAAUUUAUAUAUGUAUAGGCUUCCGGACAAAAAGGAUAUAUAAACAAAUUUUUAUAGGAUGACAAUCUUCCUGUUCAGUAGCAAUACAGUGCUUCCUAACCCUAGUUUUGGGGAGCGGCCUCUAGGUAGAAGCUCAUUGGUGUACCUCGGGGAUGAAAAUUUUGAAGUAGUAAACUACAGUCUAUAGACCAAUCAUUCGAAUUGCUCACGAACUCUUUCAAGAAAGAAAAAAAAAACAAAGGCCGUUGUGGGUUGUUAUCCGGUAAUCAUUAAAGCUCGUUUAAUUUGAUUUCAGCAUAAGAUGGUGGCGAUUGGUUGUGGUUAUGAUGGUGUUAUACCUUAUUAUGGUGAAAUCAAACUAAAAAGCAAAGGCCAUGGUAGGUUCAUGUGAGCUUGAUCUUGAGAAUGCCUAUGAAUUGUUAGCUAGAUUGCUUUACCCCCAGAAAGCCUAUGAACAGAAACAAUCAACAUAGCUUAAAUAAUCAUGUACCAUGAAUGAGAUGGUGAAUGUUUAUGAUACCUCUCAGAUGAUGAGAGGAAAAAAAAAAUGGAGGUGUAGAUAGCGUGUGCACUGUAGAGAAUUGUGGUUAAGUUAGGACUUAUGAGUUAUGAAAGGUAUAUUAGUACUUUUGUUCUGGUCUAAGUUAAUUAUAGUUAGCAAGCUCAUAUUGUUUUUAGAAACAUAUUAGCACAUAUGAAUAAAAAUAUUUGGUUACCAAUCAUAUUUAGUCAGCUCAUACUCAUGAGCAACGUGGUUAUAGUUUUGAGUAAUGUUAGGUAGAUCAAAUUUUUAGACCACAUUUGUAAAUCAUGUGGUGUGUCACCGAUGGGAAAUAAGCACGUUAAUCAAUAAUUAAGUAGUAAUUCAAUCAUCAACAACCAUGUCGUAUAAUUUUCAAUAUAUAGUUUAAUAAAUGGUAUCCCUAGCAUUUUCUUUUUUAAAUCUUGCCAAAUUGAUCUAAGUUUCUCAUGAUGUCUUUAAUAAGAUCCCAAUUUGGAGCCAAAGGAAGUUGUUGACCCUAACAACUACCAUGCCUAUGUGGCGCGCAGGCUGAGCAACUAAUAAGCUAACUACGUUCUUCUGGUGAAUGUGGGUCUGCUAACUCUAACCGAGCUCAGUUGGUGAUUUGAACGAAUGUGGUGGUGGUGUCGAACAAGCUUCUGACUUCUGUAUCCGAGCGAUCACGACCGAGGAAGGAACACUUCUCAGCUUCUGGGUUCUAGAGUCUGAAGACAAGUUGUUAGUCACUGUGAAGUUCAGGAUCUUCAGCACUAGGUUCAGAUGCCUCAACUAUAUUUGUGAAAAUAUAGGUGGGCUGAAUUGGUAUCAAAUUGUAAGGACACAAAUACUUGAAAGAAAUAAGUGUCUUGAUUGUAAAUGUUGUUCGAUUGUUAGAAUGCCGAACUCUGAAUGUAACUGGGAACAACCAAUCAUAGAUAGGCUCAACUUUCAAUGUGCCAAACAUUAUGUAACCUGGCCGAGAGGGUUAAUGAGUUGACCUCUUUCAGUAAGAAAAACGAAUGCUUCUUACUAAUAGAGACUUGGAUAGAUAACCAGUCAAACUCGAAGCAGUACUAUUACUCCAAACUAAAGAUGUUCCUUGGUCACGUGAUUCUACGGUUCCAAUGUUGUUAGUCCAAACUGAAGAUGUCGCCAGUUAUCAACACAAUGCCGUUAAUCCAAACUAAACGUAUGUUGACGAAGUUAGGGAAGUUAGUGGUUUUUCAGUAUGAGAGAUUCGUGUAAAGCGAUAUUUGUGUGGGGCGUUUGUGUGUGUUGAGUUGAGCGUCCUCUAAAUGUUGCAGAACCACUUCAAUUUGUAGGGUGAAUCCAUGCUAAUCACUCAUGUUAAAGUAAAGUCCUAUAUGGACUGUAACUCCUCGACAUCUCUUGAUCCAAUCUCCUAUCAAAUAAGCCUAAUUUGCGCACAGCCUUCAACCACUUCUAUUAAAACUAAGAUUUUGAACCCAAUCCUCUUUCAACAGUUGAUUCAUUGCUAAUCUGAUCAGCCAUGAACCUUGAUUCUUGAAAUAUUAUGAAUCUUAUUAAAAAUCAUCAUGAUCCUUAAAAAUUUUACUUACAUUAGGACUUGGUCGAAUCACUCUUCAACUUGACCCUUAAGAGUCCUUCUCUUGUUAGGACUCGGCCGAAUCCAUCGUGGGCUGGAUAUCUGAAUGCCACAUGGCAUGAAGGGAUGUCACUGGGCCAAGGAUUAAACACUAUACGAAUUAUCCACCUUCGGCCUAAACCCAUUAGUUCAUGCCCAAACACAAGUUUAAUCAUUAAACCACAUUAUGUUCAUCAUAAUCCACCAAGAUAGACGAAAAUGUAGUCAUUAAUAGGCUAUAGCCAAAAUAAUUGUAAGUUCUGACUUGUAAGCAGCAUCCAACAAUACUAGUAUGAUACGUUAAGUUCAUAUGGUCCAAAUAUGUGUAGGGUCGUAGCACACUUUGUUAGAUUAGAUUUAUAUUAGUCACCGACGAAAUUUGAACUCACGCCUUCAUAUAAAGAUUCAACACAUUUCCACAACUGUGAUAAAUGACCACUUGCUUGUAUAUUUGUUGACUCUAUUAAUUAAGUAGGCAUGGUACCUGACCUGUCAUCUAUUUAAGUUAAUUUAUUUGCGUGAUGCGAAAGAAAGAGAAGGGAUGAGUGGCAUAUAUUAGACAUUAAAAAAAAUUUCUAAUUUCAAAGACUGAUGGUUUUGGACUGAUAGUUGGCAUGGCUUGUCAACCAAGAUAUUAAUGUUGUGGUGCUCUUUCGAAGAAAGAGAGAAAGUCAAACUAAACCUUUCUUGUUUUAAAAAAGGAUAAAUUAUAUAAAACUACAUCAACUAUGGGAUCAUUAACAGUUUUAUACCUCGUCUUUAAAAAGUUUCAAUGUCAUACCUUAUCUUCGAAUUUGUUGCAAUUUCAUACCUUUCGUUAAUUGUCUGUCAAUUCUUCUGUUAAAUGCUGACGUGUCAUAAGACGAGAUCCACUUUCUAUUAAAAAAAAUUAAAUUAAUUAAAUUUUAAAAUUUUAAAAAUAAAAUAAAAUAAAAAAAAAAACCCAAACCCAUCCCCCCUUGCCAUCUUCCCCAUCCGUCCCCCCCUUCCAAACCCAGAACCCCACCCCCACCUCCCCCACAACCCCCCCUUUCUCCCUCCCGAGCCUCCCAAUCACCUCAUUCUCCUCCAUUCUCUUCACCUUCCCUUCCCAUUCAAAACUUAAAAAAUAAAUAAAUAAAAUCAGUAACAAAUCUGAACCCAGAUUGUCCAGAUCGUCACACCCCACCCAACCCUUCCUUCCCGUCGAAGUCGAACCACCUCAACUGGUUGCUUCUUUCCUUUUUUUUUUUUUUUUUUUUUUAAGUUUUGAAUGGGAGGGGAGGUGAAGAGAGUGGAGGAGAGGGAGGUGGUUGGGAAGAGAGGGAGGGAGAAAGGGGGGUUGUGGGGGAGGUGGGGGUGGGGUUAUGGGUUUGGAAGGGGGGACGGAUGGGGAAGAUGGGAAGGGGGGAUGGGUUUCGCAGGGUGGUGGGGGGGGGAGCGAUGGGAUAUGGGUUUUGGUUUUGUUUUUUAUAUUUAGUUAAUAUUUUAUGCAUUUUAAAAAUAUUUUAAUAGAAAGUGGGCCUCGCCUCAUGACACGUCAGCAUUUAACAGAAAAAUUGACAGACAACUGACGGAAGAUAUGACAUUGCAACAAAUUCGAAGAUAAGGUAUGUCAUUAAAACUUUUAAAAAUACGAGGUAUGAAACUGUUAAUAACCCAAUAGUUGAGGUAGUUUUAUGUAAUUUACCCUUUAAAAAACUAAACCUUUCUUUGCUUGUCUUUUUACUUAUCUUCAUGCGAUUAAAACUAAAUGAUCCAUUUGUCUCAAUGUAUGUUUGAAUAAAAAGAGAUGAUUGCUAAUAUUAUAUAUUGUCUUCGUUAAAAGUACAAAAUGUAUUAGUCACAAAAAUUAUUCUUCUCUUUUGAUUUGAUAGGAUUGAAAGGAAUGAGAACCGAUCAUGAAUAAUUGAUUUCCUUCAACUUGGACAUGAAUUGAAGGUUAAUAUCCUUUAUUGAUUCAACGGUAAAUAUUGUUGUUUUGAUCUAAUGAUAUUUUACAUUAAAAAAGUAGAAGUAUUUAGGCUAUAUGCCAUGACAAUAGGUAUUAAACUAUUUUCUACAGAAACCAAAUUUAAAAACAUUUCGCUUAUAAAUAAUAUUACUAAAAAUAAUAAAAGAAUAAACUACCGAUUUUUCCCUUGAACUUUGCUUACAUUUCGAUUUCCCCCUAAAUUUUUCAAUUAGCCAAUUAAGGACUUAAACUAAUUUUUUUGGGUGAUUUCCCCCUAGUGUAUGACACACCCCGUCCCGAAGGAGGGCAUGCUGGCCGUCACAUGAGAGUGACGUAACCAUUUACACAGUUCGGAAGCUUUAAAAAUUACAAUUACUAAGAUGAAACACCCAAGGGUGAGUCCUACUUUUGUGAAUUCUGUCAGAACACCGUUGGAUUCCUCGUGGCUACCAAAGCUCUGCUAUCUAGAACCUGGAAGGGCGCAAAACAAAAUUAAGUGGGUCAGUAAAACAAAGUUUUUUUAAAACAUUUCUAACCCCUCGCCGUAAAACCUGUAUACUUUCCCAUAAAAUAACAUAAUAGCAUAAUAUUUGUUCAAAUCUCUCAAAACAUUAAUCUUUACCAAAAUCCAGAGAGUAUGCCAUGCAAUAAUGUCAAUGACAGAAUAUGGGUGCAUCAAUAUAACAGGUGACAUAAUGAAUCAAUCGGAUACCCUGCAGUUGGUCCUGUACGGUUAAUUCUAUAGCUCAAUAUCCAAUCCAGCCGGAGUCACCACGGUGACCUGUACGGCACUACUCUGCACAUAAGUCGGAACUACCUAAAGUAGUCUGUACGACAAGAAUGGUGUAAUAAUACGCUCUAGUGCUUCUCUCAUCAAUCAUCUGUGCACAUAAUCUAAGGUCACCUACUAGUCGGAACCACUUCUAGUAGUCUGUACGACUAGCAUGUCGGAACCCUCUAUCGGUCUGUAUGACAUGCACCUACUUGGAUCCAAGGUGAGCGUGCGGUGCGGUGAAUAAUAUAAGCACUAACACCAGGGGUGCAGGUUAUGAGCUUUCAACACAAUUCACAUCAUCAAUGAUUCACAUGAAUAACAUAAAACUCACCUGAUACUUACCUGUGCGUCCACAGCACCAAUUCACACACACACACACACACACACACACACACACACACACAUAUAUAUAUAUAUAUAUAUAUAUAUAUAUAUAUGCAUCAAUUAUUAAUUCAUAUAUCUCAUAAUAUGCAUACAUGGCAUUUUAAAACAUACUUUCAUUUAAAUUCAAUUUCCGAGAAAAAUAUCAAUAGUAUAUAGGUAUAAAGAGAAAUACUGCCCACUCACCUGGAGUUCGCCCAACAACUCCCUAGCACAACACAUCAAGGCAUCAUGACGAUCGGCGCCUAGAACAAUAAUCAAAUCCAACCUCAGAAAUCAUAUCGAUAGAAUAUAUAACUUAUAUAAAACACGUCACUACGUAAUUCGAUUCGGAAGAUCUGCAACUCAGAUUUCCAAUCCAUAACUUCCAGAGGUCCACAAUAUACCUCUAGGACAACAUCCUAAAAUUUCAUUACCAUCCAACGGUCGGAUCUCUGUCAAUUUCCAAAACCAAGUGACGGUUAACAUUCUAUUUUAUGAACUUACAACUCCAAUUUCGAAAGAUCCGUAAAUCGGAUUCCAGAUCCGUAAGUUCCUAUAAUCCUCAAAUAUUACGUAUUACAAUGUAUCAAAGUUUGGUGACAAUCCAACGGUCGGAUCGUCAAUUCACAUUUUCACCUAACCACGAAUCGUAACAAACUUAGGUUCAAUUACUCAAUUCACGUCUAUCAAUUAUCAAAACUGAACCUAGAACCUUAAACACAUGCUAAGAAUGACAUUGGCGGGCCAUUGGCCACGCGCCGCCGCCCCAGCUCGCCGGAAGAUCCAACUAUUUCCAAAAAUUCUCAAAAAAUACAUAAUUGAAGAUCUCAAUGAGUAGAGUAAACUUUAUACCUGAGGCCAAGGCCAAUUUGGCCUGGAAACACUUCAAUUUCACCAAAAUCCCUGUGGAACCCUAGUUUUGUGUGUGAUUCGAUUCGGCCUUCAAACUUGCUCUAACACCUCCACCACUACAUGGGCUUUGUUCCUGGGUUCUAAGGGAGUAUAAUGGUGGUGGUAAUUGGAAGGAAUCAUUUCUAAAUUCACUGGAGAAAAGAAAAACCCGUCAGAACCACCGUGGGUAUACGGCUUCAAUUCGAAUAAAUUUGACAAGAAAUUUGAUAAUCUACCACCACAGGGAUGUUGGGCUCGUUGAGAACGUUCCAUAGACACCAGAAUCACCUCCAACGGACCUCAGACGAAGGAGAUAAGACCGGGUCAAGAAUGAUUGUGACAUCCCACAUCGCCUAGGGGAGUGAUCCUUAAAUGUAUAUUCUUAUCCCUACCUAGCACGAGGCCUUUUGGGAGCUCACUGGCUUCGGGUUCCGUAGGAACUCCGAAGAUAAGUGAGAAGGAUGCCAGAGCACUCCUAGGAUGGGUGACCCACUGGGAAGUUGCUCAUGAGUUCCCAGAAACAAAACCGUGAAGGCGUGGUCAGGGCCCAAAGUGGACAAUAUCGUGCUAUGAUGAUGGAGCGGGCCCGGGAAGUGAUCCACCCUGAGCCGGGAUAUGACAAUUCGUAUCAGAGCCUAACGCUGGCCGUGGUGUGCCGACGAAGACGUCGGGCCCCUGAAGGGGGUGGAUUAUGACAUCCCACAUCGCCUAGGGGAGUGAUCCUUAAAUGUAUAUUCUUAUCCCUACCUAGCACGAGGCCUUUUGGGAGCUCACUAGCUUCGGGUUCCGUAGGAACUCCGAAGUUAAGCGAGAAGGAUGCCAGAGCACUCCCAGGAUGGGUGACCCACUGGGAAGUUGCUCGUGAGUUCCCAGAAACAAAACCGUGAGGGUGUGGUCGGGGCCCAAAGCAGACAAUAUCGUGCUAUGGUGGUGGAGCGGGCCCGGGAAGUGAUCCACCCCGGGCCAGGAUGUGACAGUGUAAGUUUUUCAUUCAUUCUAUCCAAAUUUCUGUUAAAUGGAAGCAUGUACACAACAUAUAAGGGUAGUUCGGUCGAUUCGUUCUUUAAAAUAAUUGAAAACUCUAUAUUUCUAAAAUGUCGACCAAUGCAAAUCUGUGUAAUUCUAUAACUUUUGUGUCUGAAUGUCUAGCAAAGUGAUGCUUUUUGUACUCAAAGGAGAGUCACGUGAUGUGCACGUGAUAAGAAUUAACAUUAAUUUGGUUGCAAUUUAUAGACAACUAACGGUAAGGGAAAAUCGACCAAAAAAAUUAGUUUAAAUCCUUGAUUUUUCAAAUAAAAAGUUUAAAAAAGAAAUCGAAAGCCAAGUGAAAAUUGACGAGAAAAAUUAGCAAUUUACUCAUAAUAAAAUGCAAAACUUAAAAGUUAAAAGGUAUUACCACUUCGUGCAAAAAGGACAUACCACUUCAAAAGCAUCGGAAUUUAAAAAAGCAUCAAAAUCCAGCAUGCGACAUGGAAAUUGGAAUCAGGGUGUCCCACUUGACAUGCUUAAGUCUUGAACCAGUACUUUAGUCAAAACAUGUGUUUGAAAUUAAGUGAAGUUUUUGUGAAUUUUUUUUUUAAACAAAUGAUAUUAUAUACACAAAAUAAAUGGAGGUGGGCUUAGCCUUACAAUGGGUUAACAAUAAAGUGGUUCAAAUUCGCCUUUAGCGAGAAUCGAAUCUAAGACCUUUAACUUACAAGUGAAGAAGAAUAUCACUAUGUCGUAGUACUAAGUGGUAAUUUUUUGUGAAUUUGAAAGUAAACAAGCCGCAAAAGUCUAUGACCUAGUUUGGCAAAUAAAAUAAGUAAUGAACUGAGUUAAGGGUGAUUAGAUGAGAGAUAAUCCCACCAUAAUCUCAAACCACUUUGAACUUGCCGCUCCAAACCCAAGAUUUGACGCUUAAGACACAUCAUAGUGCAAAGGCAGUGAUGUUAAUUGAAUGUUGAGAAAUACUACCAAGACUUUCUCAAAGUAUGACUCUUUAUGAAUUUUUUGUGACAUGCCCGACCCUAAUAUUCACCAAACACUAGGGUAAGCACAUGAUGGCCGACAUUUGAAGGUGACGAAGCCAUAUUAGGAUGCAUGAGAAAUAAUAAAUAUAGACAAUACUUAUAAAUUUAAAUGCAAUGAUUAUGCAAUUAUGGAACGUGUUCAAAACAUGCAACUAAUCAUAAACACUAAAAAGGAAUAAUAUAAAAUUGAAUGAACAAAAGGAUGGAUCCUACACCGAGAUGACUCGAAGAUGCCGAUGUGGGAGUGCCUUGACGCCGGGAUUGUACGCCUCGAAUCUAAGUCCUGAGGGGGCACAAAACAAAACAUGAAUGGACCAAAUUGAUAUAUAAAUAGUUCUAACAUAAGUAUUUCUCAACGUACUAAUCCCCAAAAUUUAUGAAAACUCAAUAAUAUAAUACGUAAUAAGUUUUCCGAAAACCCUAGCAUGCCAUAAAGCCUUUCAUAAAACAUAUAUCAUAUAUAGUGUGUUUAGUAGAGGUGUAUAUAUAAGGCAUAUAGAACACUUCUUCAUUCAUUCGAAGGUUCUACAUCAUGCGCCUGUAAGCAGUAUCAUUCGCCUGUAGGCACUACAUCUCCCGAUCAAAGCCAAUAUAAGUAUCUUCUGCCUGUAGGCACUACAUCUCAUGGCCAAAGCCAAUAUAAGUAUCUUCCGCCCGUAGGCACCAACCAAACGCCAGGCCGUAGCCAAAACAAAAUAUCUCCCAACCAAAGUGAAAUUACAAAAUUGCCCUUCUAUUUCGUAAAAUCCGGAACGGGUCGUUAUAAUCUACCCCCGUUAAGAAAAUUUUGUCCCGAAAUUUGAAAUAACGUACUAUACAUAAAUACUCGAAGAUAGGAAAGAAAAUAUGUAUAAAGAAGAAAUCAAGUCAGAGUGGUUACAUCAAAGAGAAUAUGCCACACCGUCGUGAGCGGUUUGCCAAAUCCUCUUUCAUGCCUCCAAGCUCUUACUUUCUUCCCCCAUCAGUAUAAUAGUAAAAACAUACUUUAUAAGGAUAUAAAUCGAAAAUUGUAUAGUAAUGUAUGGUAAAAAAUAUGUACGUAGUAAGAUAGCGUCAAAAUAAAUAAGUACUAACAUAGAGGUCGAAAACUAGUACUGAACUUAAAACUAAAAAUGGAAAAGACUUAACCGAAAGUUUGUAGCGUCAAAAAGACAAAAAAUAUAACUAAUAUAAGGUAAAACAAAAUACUCGUACUGAAAAUCAAAACCGAAAAUGGAAGUGGGUCUCGCCCAAGUAGUCAAAACGUCACGUACUCCGAGAACAGAUGUGUCUUUGGGUCGAGCCCCAACAAUAACUAAAAAGUAACAACUAUCAUAGAUGGGUCUACUUGUCCACUUACUUAACGAACCCAACAAAUAUGUCAUCGAUAUUAUAGCCAGCCGCCCGCGAUAUCAACAACACAUUCUUGUCUCGAUAAGCAAGUAGUAAUUUCCUAAGGGUGCAAACAUACCAAUUUGUCCAAUCCCAAGUCAACAACAACACAAGUACACAGUUUCUCAAAUCAUAAAAUCAAACAUCCGAAAACCAAUUCGUAGAACUCCACAGUCGAACCAAUGUUGCUAUUAGAAUCUAUCAUAUUAAGUAUCAAAUAGUGUUAUACUCAAACUGAAAAUAAAACUAUCGUCAUAACUACUCCAAAAGAGAUCAGCGCAAAAUCUAAUCAUUCAGAAAGCACAAAUGAAAAGAAUGCAACACAUCUUUCAAUAUCUAGAUAUUUCGUUCAAGAUUGUCCAACAACCUGCAAAUAAAAAUGCGAUACAAAACAAACAACUUAAUACUCAAGGCCUUCACGAAACUUCACAAAACUUAGAAGUGAAACGCGCAUCACAAACAACAAGGUCCUGGAGUGAAGUAAUCGAAAGAUGCGUAGAGGUGAACAAAUAUCAUAAACAUGUCUUUCGUGACUAACCGCGAUCAUCGCUCUCCUGGCCGAGAAGUACAAGGUUCGAAACCUAUAUUAGAAAAGCAAUCACUUGGACUACUUCCUUCGAAUAACGACUGCCGCUCUAAACCAUUCACAAAAACUGGCUCGGAAUUACCAGACUCAUAACCCAAGAUGGAAUUUAAUCUCAGUAGAUGUAUAUAAAAGGUGUGUUAGGGUUGGGUGGAAGAUACCCAUAAAAUAUUUGGGCAAAUGAACUUAUAUAUAUAUAUAUAUAUAUAUAUAUAUCGUUAGGAAAGAACUACUAGAGUACGAUAUGAUGCCAAUGAAAUAUAGCAAGAUAAUAUGAGGUGACUAUUCAUUCCUGCGUGAAGAUAGUGAUCGGUGAUGCAAUCUGCUGACCACCCAUACUAAAAGGCGGCUCAAAGCUCAUGGCCACAUGAAACUCUUCUUGAUAAGUCUGGUAGGCUUACAAGAAGGUUAUGCUCCAAAUAUUCCUGCUAGCAUCGACAUGAAAUUGGGCGCACGCACCCGUCGAGUCGGUCUAUCGUGAGUUCCUCACUGAUUGAGCAAGAAAACACAUCAAGAAGGCUAAAAGAACACACUAAGAUUUGAGGGUCAAAAUAAGUCAAUUAAAUAUAGAGUACAAUAUAUCUGGAUUUGAAUAUACAACUCUGAUGCUUGAGUUCAUACAAGUACCUAGCUUGAUUGGGUAGUAACAACUUGAAAUGGUCGAACCUGAAAAUUAGCUAAGUUGGUUCCUGAUUAUCCAUAAUCAUAUCGCAGAAUAUCCAAGAGUUCCAUACAAGGGGGAAAUAUAAAUGAUUGAAGAAUAUUCGAGUAUCGGUGUGUCUUUCUAUUGAGGUGUUCAGCAACUACGCUUGCACAAUCGGGGUGGUACACGAUGGUGCAGUUGUAGACAUUUAUAUACUCUAUCAAUCACCGUCGCCAGAGACUUAGCUCAUUUCGACUGAGAAUCUAACUAAGAAGUUUUACAAGGUUGAUAAAGAUCUUACGUGUUUCACCACGGUGAGGGUGUUCUUAGAUUUUCAAGUUAGGACUAUAACUGUAGGCUCCAGGUCGGAAAUAGGACGGUUUAAAUCAGGUGGUCCCAACCGUCGAAAAGCAAAAGCAUCGCCCAAUAUGCUACCUCAGUGCACAAUGACACCUUCAGUAAAACAUCAUAGACAGAUUCGAAAUUUUUGUUGGUGUCAUCGAGAAGUAUAUGAACAAUGGCAAGGUGAGACAGCAUCUCGAACAAAACUGAUUUAUUCCCUAGCCGAAGUUGAGGGUUUGGGUUAUGGUAGAAAAUUGUUGGCAACUGUCGAUAGAAAUCGACAAUACCAAUGAUAUUUCGUAAUUCACGACACUCGAGAAGAUUCUUGAUUUCCAAUUGUCACAACCUUGGAUUUGGUAAGAGUAACUUCUGUUACCAAAGAAACUCCCAAGAGAAGUAUCUACUCUAGGCAAAAACAAUGUUCGAAGAAUUUGACGUACAACUGACAAUUGAUAUUUAGUGAACCUGACGUCAUGGUUGGAGUAAGCAAGAAGGUUUUCGAUAGAACAAUCACAAAGAAUUGUUCUAACAAUCCACACAAUUUCCUCAGCAUGAGCGAGUCUAAGGACAUUGAUUCAAUCCCACCAAACUAACAAUUACUAAUCUUCUCAACGUCUAAUGCUUACUCGCCUUCUCCAACACGCACUUCGAAUGUUUCGAACAAUUUCCAUAAAGAUACAACUCUGCCCGCCAUUCCUAGGGAACGCAUGUCACAAAAUGACAUCACCGAUUUAGGUUUUCUAAAUUCAAACCACUAGAUUUUUCCGUUUCACCACAUUCCUGUGUAGAUACCACUAUGCCUGCAAUUCCUAAGGAACGCAUGUUACAGAGUGGCAUUGCCACUUCGGGUCUACAGCUGGUCUUAACCAGACUUCCUCUUACUGAUAUUUCUAGUUCAUGUCACUUUAAUGUAAAAACCAACUCUGCCGGCAAUUCUUAAGGAACGUAUGUUGCAGAGUAUCGGUCGAAUGUUGAAAGUCGUCCAACAAUCCAUUUCGUCACCGAUGAGGCAUAAUCCUAACACGAAAUUCUUAUUCUUCAAUAGGAUAUGACUAUUCAUGCAGAAUAAGGGUUGCACAACCGUGCCGAAUGACAACAAAUUCAGAAGUCGUGACAUCUAAAUGAUGUCAUGACCAACACACCACUAUAGUAACAGAAGAUCCUAAGUAUGCUCUGAACAAACCACGCUCUGAUACCAAAUUGACACGUCCGACCCGGAUAUUCACCAAACACCAGGGUAGGCACGUGUUGGCCGACACUCGAAGGUGACGAAGCCAUAUUAGGAUGCAUGAGAAAUAAUAAAUAUAAACAAUACUUAUAAAUUUAAAUACAAUGAUUAUGCAAUUAUGGAACGUGUUCAGAGCAUACAACUAAUCCUAAACAUUAAAAAUGAAUAAUAUAAAAUUGAAUGAACAAAAGGAUGGGUCCUACACCGAAAGGACUCGAAAAUGUCGAUGCAGAAGUGCUUUAACGCCGAGAUUAUAUGCCUCGAAUCUAAGUUUUGAGGGGGUACAAAACAAAACAUGAGUGGACCAACUUGAUAUAUAAAUAUUACUAACAUAAUUAUUUCUCAACGUACUAACUCACAAAGUUUAUGAAAACUCAAAAGUAUAAUAUGUAAUAGGUUUUUCGAAAACGUUAGCAUGCCAUAAAACCUUUCAUAAAACAUAUAUCACAUAUAGUGUGUUUAGUAGAGGUGCAUACAUAAGGCAUAUACAUAUAUAUAAUAUUUUCAUUUGCCCGAAGGCACAUAGAACACUUUUUCAUUCAUCUGAAGGUUCUACUUUACGCGCCCAUAGGUAGAUCAUUCGCCCGUAGGCACUAAAUCUCCCAGCCAAAGCCAAUAUAAGUAUUUUCCACCUGUAGGAACUACAUUUCCAAGCCGAAGCCAAUAUAAGUAUCUUCCACCCGUAGGCACCAACCAAAUGCUUGGCCGUAGCCAAUAUGAAUAUCUCCCGCCCAUAGGCACCAACCAAGCACCCGACCAUAGCCAAUAUGAAUAUAUUCCGGCCGAAGCCAUCUACAAACGCCCGACCGAAGCCAAUAUAAGUAUCUUCCGCCCUUAGGCACUACAACCCCCAGCUGAAGCCAAUAUAAGUAUCUGACGCUCGUAGGUUCCUACAGCACCCACCCAAAGACAUAUAUAAAUAUCAUUCGCCCGUAGGCAGUAUCGCAUGAUUUCUAAUAUAUAUAUAUAUAUAUAUAUAUAUAUAUAUAUAUAUCCUAAUUGGAGUUCGGUAGCUAUAACGUCAUAUCGUAAAAACUAUUCGUAGUAUAUAGUCAUCAAUCAUUUAUACUACGAAGAACGUCAAAAUCAAUAAAGGAUGGUAUUCCAAAAUAUUCUCAAUAAAGCAUGAUAUCUCACAAAGUGUAAAUUUAAUUUACUCAUAAACAUUUCAUAAAAUGUAACCAUUAAACCAUGUUUUUCAUGUAUGCAUUUCUAAUAGUAAAAUAUGCAUUUUAGAAGGGGUCUACUCACCUUACACCGUUGGCAAAGAGCUGUGCAAAUAAGGGUGGAUGGAAACGCCACAAAUAACUGCACCUAAGCACAUAAAUGGUCCAAUUAAUAAAACUUUACUCAAAUGAUUUAAUUUUGGGAAAUGGACAUCAUAAACGGAUUUAGGAUGUCAAAAUUAGCCUAGGAGGGGUCCCGGUCAAAACCCGAAAAAAGUCAACCCAAAGUCAACGUUGACCGGUCAAAGGUCAACAGCGAAAGUCAAUGGUUAGGUCAAAGUCAACGGGUCUAGGUCUUGGGUUUGGGCUUGGUGGGUUUGGGCUUGGGCAAUUAGGCGGGGUAAUUGGGUCACAAUUAUAGGCUUGGGCUUGGUAGCCUGGCCCAAAGGGUCUGGGUUGGGUCGGCUACAAGAUUGGAUCUUGGAUCUAGGUUUCAGGGUAAUCGGGUCGGGUCGACCCGGUUUCAUGCCAAGGUUUGGUUGAUUUCUGGGCACAACUUCAAACAUUCAUAACUUCUUCGAUACUAAACCAAAUCGAGUGACUCAAAAACCUAAGUUGUAGAACUCAACGAGAUGAAGAGAAUGGUACCUUGCACGAUGGCUAACUUGCCGUGGAUUGGCCAGAAAACACCUCGAAAGUUGCGGUGCUCACCGGAAACUGGGUAAACUUUAAAAGGUGUAAUAUUCACACACCCCAUUUUACUUUUCACACACCCUUUUAAUUUUCGGCUGUUGGAUCAAAUGAAUUGAAGAAAAUCAAAGGAUAGAAAUUAACAAGGGGUGUGUAAGAAGUAAAAGGAGGUGUGUGGAUAGCACACCCCAACUUUAAACGCUCAUAACUUUUUCAAUACUCAACGUAAUCAAGUGAUUCAAAAAUGAAAAUCAUACUUCUCAACGAGAUGAAGAGAAUGGUACCUUUUUCAAUGGCUAACUUGUCGUGGUUUGGUCGAAAAAUGGCCUGAAAGGUUGCGGCCCAACUUGGUUUCAAUCCCGACGAUUCGGAAGGACGUUCGAGGUGAGUUUGGGUGUUCUAGGCUCGUGAGGAUGAGACCAAGCUCAUGGUGCUCUUGGUUUAGGCGGUGGUGGGAGUGUUGUCAUUGUUGUUGUUUGUUAUGCCCUUGUGGAUUGAUGGUUUUGAGACAGAAAUGGGAGGGCCGAGAGUGAGUGAGAAAGUUAGAGAGAAAUGAGAGUCUCACGGAAAAAUGGAAGAAAGAGAGAAGAAGAGGGAGACCAAAUAAAAGGAGUGGGCCCUUUAAGGAACACUAAAUUAGACCAAAAUCAAACAUAACAAAAUAUCUCCCAACCAAAGUGAAAUUACAAAAUUUCCCUUCCGUUUCAUAAAAUCUAGGACUGGUCGUUACAUUCUGUCAUGGUUUGACAUCAAUUUCCAUGCCAACAUUAUAAAACAUUACGCCAAAAACAUAAGGUGUCCAAGAAUCCAUGUAAAAUCCCACUUUUGAGAGUCUCUUUAGCAUUUCUCUUCAAAGUUUUGACAAAAAUAACCAACUUGCAAAUUACAAAUUUAGUAAACAACUUGCCAAUAACAAUUUAAUCAACAAAAGGAACAAAUAUAAAUAUACAUAAUUUUUUUUGGGUAAAUUACACAAAACUACCUCAAUUAUGAGUCGAAAGACAAUCUCAUACCUCAUAUUUUAAAAAUUGCAAUGUCAUACCCAAGGAAGAAAAUAUCAGUAAUAUCGGAAAUAUCGAUAGUUCGAAAACAUGGAAAUAUCGAUGGAAAUAUCGGUAAAAUAUCGAUAUCGAUAAAAAUUACAUGGAAACCACGGAAAUUGUAAGAAAAACUUGGAAUUUUUUAUUGAAACUUUGUAGGAUGUUUAUUUAGUCAAUUAUCUAUUAGUUUAUCACAAAAAAUUGGAAAGAAAUGCAUUGCAUAACGGAUUUAACAUUAUCAAGUUGAUUAUAUAGCGAGCUGACAAACAUUGUGAGUGUAGAAAAUAUGUAGUAAUUAAUGAAAGAAGUCUAAACACACCAUAAUCAUUUAUAUAUAAUGAAUUAGUACAAUAUUUUACACUUUAGUACCACAUAGAGUUUCUAUGAGUUUCAAAUUUUUCACUAUCUUCAUCAUCUCUACGUGUAGAAUGAGUGUAUUGUGAAGAGUAGUUAUCAAAUGAUAAAUCCCCAAAAUAGUUUUGCAUGUAAUUGUUAACAUGCCACCCAUAUGGAUCCGAGAUUGGUUGAGGUUGUCCAUAAGAAAAAUCAUUUGAAGAUUGAGUCUGGGAUUGUUUCCAUGAGUCGCUCGAUUCCAUCCCAACAGGAAUGGGAUAUGAAGGGUAGGGAAAUGGUUGGUUAUAAGUAUAACCAUAGUUACUACUUCCCAAUCCAACAGAGUCUGAAGUUCUAGAUAACGAGUCAUCUUCUUGACUUGACAAAAUUCCCUUGCCUCUUUCUCUGCGAGUAUAGUCUUUCCCUAUGGCACCAAUUCCUGGUCCUGCCCGCUUACUGCCAUGGUCAUCAUCCUGUGUUGCAUGCGUGAAGUUUGCCUCACCAGUGAAGGGGCUCAUAUAUCCAGGAGGUGGUGGUCCAUAAUAGUUUCCAUAUCCAUCACCACUACCUCCAGCUCCACUAUGUCCUUCAUCAUUCCCACCUCCAGUGGUAGGUGAGUCUCCUGAUCUUGUACUAGAGCUAUCAUUAGUAUCAGCAUGAUGUUGUGGUUGUGUAGGAUUGGAAGAAGGUGGAAUUCCAGUGUUUUUUGGUCUUGGGCGCAAAAGUUUUUCCAAAGAGUCAGCGCUGUUAGAUCCCACCUCCUCCUCUAAUACUUUUUCUACAUUUAUCCAUUCAUUACGUGCUUCUUCAGCAACUCUGGGAGCUGGGUUGCCUUCAUCAUCAUCUAGAUGAAGAGGUCUAAUCCAUUGAAAAAGUUGGUUACCUUUAGUAUCAUCAUCUUCACCAACAAUAUCAAACACAUCUAGUGGGUCCCCACGGUCGACAUGAUCUAUUUCUGCUUCCUUAUCUCGAAUUUGAAGCUUCAUGUUGUAGUAGCAAUAAACUAAUUUUUCCAAGCUACUAUGAGCCAACUUAUUUCUUUGCUUUGUGUGUAUGAGUGCAAAUGUGCUCCAAUUUCUUUCACAAGCAGAUGAGGAAGCUGUUUGUGAUAAUACUUUGAUUGCUAACUUUCUCACAGUUGGUGCAUCGGUCCCAUACAUGAUCCACCAUUCAGCUACAAUGAAAAACAAUGUUGAUAAGCCUAAUAACUCCAACAAAUUCUAUUAUAAACUUAUAGUGAAAUAUGUUUAUACUCACUAGGAGACAUAUUUGUUCGAGCAGCAACUGAUGUUGGUUCUCCAAAAGUUCUUCUUGCAUCUUUAAACCAUGUUAGCUGAAUUCAAUAAAUCGUGUUAGUUUAAUCCAACAAAGUAAUUAUUAUAUUUUAAGUAAUUGUCUACCUCAUUUCCAAAUUGGCCAACUGCUGGUGAUGCAGGGUCUAAUUUAGAGUAUACAUUAUGUACAGCACGUAUAAGGUUACCAUCAUCUCCAACACCGGGUCUGUAUUGGUAUCGGGGAUUCAAAUAAUAUGCUGUUCAAAUAAACACGUACUCUAAUAAGAGAAAUAAUACUUAUGCAACUAAAGAAACGAAUUGCAAAAUUAUGACAUAAUUUAUACAUGCUGCAUGCAAAUCGUGGUAUAAUGUUUUAUACCAUCAGUCUUCAAUUAUCUUUAUGACCCACCUUGCACCAUGUUUUCUUUCCAAUUCAUCCUUCACUACACGCAUCAACUCAUAUACUGCCCCCAUAGUAGGAUACACCUCUGUGUCAACGAACCGUAAAACUUUGUAAAGAGGUUCAAACACUUGGCACACAUGUUCUGAUUGAGUCCAAAAAGCAUGAUCAAACACUAUACUUUCCACCAUACGACCUGUAUUUGAGCGGCUCAAAUUGUGGUUGGCCCAAUCGUCACUAUGAAUAGUUGCUUCAACCCUGCUUUCUUCUUGAGUAUGCUGUCUAAUGCAAUGUAGUUGGUGGCGAAUCGAGCGAUAGCUGGACGAAUAAUUUCUCCUUUGCAAAAUUCACGCAUCUUUGCCAACAACUAACCGUGAUUGUAAAUAUAAUUUGUGAUCGUUCUAGCUCUUUUGACCACAGUAGCAACAUUCUCUCUCUUCCCCAUUGCCUCAAACAUGAGAUCAAUACAAUGUGCUGCACAUGAUGUCCAAAACACAUUAUGAUGCUUCAUUAACUUUUUUCCAGCUUUGACAAAUGCAGAACCGUUGUCGGUCACGACUUGGACAACAUUAUGCUCUCCCACCUCCAUGAUUACAUCCCUCAAUAAUUUGUAAAUAUAUUGGUAAUUCUUUAUAUGGUCUGAAGCAUCAACAGACUUCAAAAAAAUUGUCUUUCCCUUGGAGUAUACCAUGAAGUUGAUGAUAGACAAUCUGGUCUGGCCGGUCCAUCCGUCACACAUGAUUGUGCAACCAUUAGUUUCCCACUUUGACCUCAACUUGUUAACAUACUCGCCAAUGUCUUUAUACUCCAUAUCCAAAUAUUUGUUUCUUAUCUCAUAGGGAGUGGGAGGUUGUACUCCAACACCGACCUGUUGACAUCCCACUACCAUAUUUUUGAAAUGAUUUGAUGAUGCCUUCGCAGUAGGGACAUUUUCAUAGAUAAAGAACUUGCUAAUUAGACGCCACAUUCCCUCCUUCACAUUACCUCCAGUGAAAUAACUUCAAAUACUCUUUUGACGUGCUUUGGAUGACUUAUAUAAACUUGGGGCUAUUGGUGGUGUUGGUUGUGAUUCUCUAAGACUGCCUCCCCGUCUCAUUUGUGCACCACCACUUGUCCCGGAACCUUGUGCUCUAUUAGGAAUUUUAUGAAGGUGUUCUCUUUCCCAUGCUGACUGUUUGGAGGCACGUAAUACUUGUUUCAAACUGCGUCGUUCUUCAGGUCCCAUGUCAUCAUCACAUUCGUCCUCAUCGUCAUCAUCAUCACUGUCAAGCUCUUGGCCAUAGACUUCUCCCCGUAGCCCAGCUCAAAUAUUUUCCAUUCCCUGUGUUAUCUUUUCCUUCUGCUGUUUUUUAUUUUUUAAUAAUGUGCUGAUGAAUGUCUUCACUUCUGGGGGGACAUUAUCGCAUCGUUGGACAUUUUUUGCUGGAUCUAAUCCACUAAGAUGGUACUUAAUUCGUGUCACUCCGCCACUCUUCAUUACCCGACCACAAUAUUUGCAAAUUGUGCCAUGUUUGUUUCCAUCUAUUGGGUAUCCAUGUUCUCAAGCUGGAUCACGUUUAGUAGCUCCACUGGACAUCGUAAAUGUACCUACAUUUAUUUUUCAUGAAAAUUAGACAAAUAUUUUUUGGCCAAAAAAUAUAGUAGUGAUGACGGUUAUAUAAGAGAACCUAAAUAAUAAAGUUAUUCUACAGAAGAAUUAAAUAUGAAGUAAAGAAAAUGAUUGUAAAAAUUUAAGUAAUUAAAAAAAUAAUAUGGAAUAAUAAAACCUAAUAUUAAUGAAUAAUAAUCCAAUUUGAUAAAAAAAUAAUCCUAAUAUAAAUGAUGAAUAAUAUUCCUUUUUGAUAAUAAUCCUAAUAUAAAUAAUCCUACUAUAAAUGAUGAUAAUUAUGUUUCAUGAAAAUAAUCCUAAUAUAAAACAUAGUGAUGAAUCAUAUUCCUUUUUGAUAAUAAUCCAAUUUAAUAAUAAUUCACUUUAAUAAUAAUCCAAUUUAAUGAAUAAUCCAAUUUGAUAAUAAAAAAAACCUAAUAUUAAUGAAUAAAAAUCCUAUUUGAUAAAAAAAUAAUCCUAAUAUAAAACAUAGUGAUGAAUAAUAAUCCAAUUUGAUAAUAAUCCAAUUUAAUAAUAAUCCAAUUUAAUGAAUAGUCCAAUUUGAUAAUAAGCCAAUUUAAUGAAUAAUCCAAUUUAAUGAAUAAUAAUCGAAUUAUCUUAAAAAUAAUCCUAAUAUAAAACAUAGUGAUGAAUAAUAAUCCAAAUUGAUAAUAAUCCAAUUUAAUAAUAAUCCAAUUUAAUGAAUAGUCCAAUUUGAUAAUAAGCCAAUUUAAUGAAUAAUCCAAUUUGAUAAUAAUCUAAUUUAAUGAAUAAUAAUCCAAUUUGAUAAUAAAAAAACCUAAUAUUAAUGAAUAAUUAUCAUAUUUGAUAAUAAAACCUAAUAUUAAUAAAAUAAUAAAUAACAUUAAACAUAUUAAAAUUAUCCUAGGGAAUAAUUAUACAACAUUACUUAAUUACUUAAAAAAAUUAACAUGUAAUUGUUAACAUUACUUAACUACUUACAAAAAUUAACAUGCAAGUAUUAAUUACUUAAAAAAAAUUAACAUACGAGUCCACACAAAUUUAUUUGUUGUUGUAUAAAUUACAAUAAUAUAAAUAUAAGUUUGUAAACUUACCUUAAAUAUGGAACCCUUUGUGUUCAAGCUUUGGAAUGGAGCUGGAAUGGCUUUGAAAAUGGUAAGGGAAAUAAAAUAAUAAAUAACAUUAAACAUAUUAAAAUAAUCCUAGGGAAUAAUUAUACAACAUUAUUUAAUUACUUAAAAAAAUUAACAUGUAAUUGUUAACAUUACUUAAUUACUUACAAAAAUUAACAUGCAAGUAUUAAUUACUUAAAAAAAUUAACUUACGAGUCCACACAAAUUUAUUUGUUGUUGUAUAAAUUACAAUAAUAUAAAUAUAAGUUUGUAAACUUACCUUAAAUAUGGAACCCUUUGUGUUCAAGCUUUGGAAUAGAUCUGGAAUGGCUUUGAAAAUGGUAAGGGAAAUAAAAUAAUAAAUAACAUUAAACAUAUUAAAAUUAUCCUAGGGAAUAAUUAUACAACAUUACUUAAUUACUUAAAAAAAAUUAACAUGUAAUUGUUAACAUUAAUUAAUUACUUACAAAAACUAACAUGCAAGUAUUAAUUACUUAAAAAAAUUAACAUUUAAUUGUUAACAUUACUUAAUUACUUACAAAAACUAACAUGCAAGUAUUAAUUACUUAAAAAAAUUAAUAUGUAAUUGUUAACAUUAUUUAAUUACUUACAAAAACUAAAAUGCAAGUAUUAAUUACUUAAAAAAAUUAACAUACGAGUUCACACAAAUUUUUUUGUUGUUGUAUAAAUUAUAAGAAUAUAAAUAUAAGUUUGUAAACUUACUUUAAAUAUGGAACCCUUUGUGUUCAAGCUCUGGAAUGGAUCUAGAAUGACUUUGAAAGGGGUAAGGGAAAUAAAAUAAUCGAAAAGGUUUGAAUGGCUAUGACACUCGACCUCUUGAAAGAAUGCAGCUUUGAAAGAAUAUCACAAUGGCUAUGAUACUCCACCUUUUAAAACAAUAUCGGCACACGAUUUUGAAUGAAACCACCAUCCAUGGUUUGAAAAGAAUACAAAUUAUAAUUGUAAAAGUGAGUCUGUCAAAUUGUCAAAAUAAUUGUAAAACUUGUCGGGAAUACUGAGUGAGUCUGUCAAAUUGUCAAAAUAAUUGUAAAACUUGUCGGGAAUAUUGAGUGAGUCAUGUGUCCUCCUGACAGGAGGAACCCACACAGACACACACACAAAUGACACAACGCACGCAACCACACACGCACACAACGCACGCACACAAACAUCACACACGCAGACCACGACCUCAGUCUCUAUCUCUCUCGAUCCUUCUCGAUCUCUCUUCUCCCUUCUCUCUCCCACACACACACACACAGAGAUCUCUGAUCUCUCUUCUCCCUUCUCCCAAACACACACACACACACAGAUCUCCGAUCUCUCUUCUCCCUUCUCCCAAACACACACACACACACAGAUCUCUCGAUCUCUUCUCUCCAUUCUCCGAUCUCUCUUCUCCCUUCUCCGAUCUCUCUUCUCCCUUCUUCCACACACACACACACACACACACACACACAGAUCUCUCGAUCUCUCUUCUCCCUUCUCCGAUCUCUCUUCUCCCUUCUCACACGCGCACACACAGAUCUCUCGAUCUCUCUUCUCCCUUCCCCUACACACACACCACGGCCUUCUGCUCCUUAGUCCGACAAUCUCGAAUCCCUCUCGAUAUCUGGGUGUCGCCGCCGUUGAUCGUGGCUCUGGCAAAGUCGGAGUUGGCUCAGUCGUUUGUGGCGGUGCGCCGCUGAACAAGUUUUCAGGUGAGAUUCCAUUGAAACCCUAAACCCUAAACCGACAUCACAUAUGUUGAAUCGUUUAUUACCUCUUGCAUGCGUGAAAUUUGAAGUUUAUAUGUGAAAUUGAAGUUAAAAAUCGUGUUUUUGCAAGGUUUUUGGGAUGAAAUCGGCUCUGGAAUAGGCACACCGUCUCCGGCGUUCUUCUCCGACGUUCGGCUCGGAGUCCGAUUGCACCGUUCAAAAAAAUAUCGCGAUAUUUCCAAAAUAUUGCGAUAUUUGGACGAAAACCAUUCGGAUACCAAUUAAAAUAUCCAUGUCCCGAAAAACCGAUAAUAUCGACGAAAUAUCGCCGAUAUUAUCGGCAUUUUCUUCCAUGGUCAUACCUCAACUUAUGAAUUCGUUGUAAUGUCAAGCCUCCAUUAAAAUUUCUGUCAAUUUUACUGUUAAGCGAUGACAUGGCAGGUGCGGGGUCCACUCCUCACUCAAAUGAAUUUAAAAAUUAAUUAAAUUUAAUAAGUUAAGAUUUUUUAAUCUGAAAAAAAAUAAAAAUUUAUUAAAAAACCCUCCUCCCCUCACUUCUCUUCCUCUUCUCUCCCUCGUCUACUCCGCCGUCAAGGUUCGAAAGAUCGGCAAGGGAGCUCUGGAAUGCACCGUGUGCUUGAGCGAGUUCGACGACUUCGAAACGUUGCAUUUGCUUCCCAAAUCCGACCACGUCUUCCAUCCAGAUUGCACCUGACACCUGACUCGCACUCGACGGGUCACUCGCCGAUCCGACCCAGAUUGGACACCGAGUGGUACAUGUUGAGACUGUUGGAGGAGGUGAGGAGGCAACUGGUUUCGAGCGGCAACAACAAGAACCCGUGCCUGCUGGACCACCUCUGGGAGCCGGACGAUUUCUACGAGCCGAUCCACCACCACAACCCAGCGAGGCAGCGAAGUUUCAAUCCUUGUCGUCAGGCUCGAACACAAGAUUCUCGAGUUGCACAGGUACAAGCUCGCGAGGAAUCAGAAACAAGAGACACCCAAUUGGGCGGCGGCGAAACCAAUGGAGAGAUGAAACGGAUUGGUAGCGGCUGAAGCGGGGGAGGUUGGAUUGGUGAUGGCUGAAACGGGGGAGGCUGCAAAAUCAAGAGACACCCAAGAUCAAAUGUAUACAUGUUCCUCCAAACUGAACUUACAGAUCAUUGUAUUUUUUUUUUUUUAAAUUUGGGAACGUUGCUGCAAAUCAAGGAGAGAGUUUUUUCAAUUAUCUUAAUUUUUUCAGACCAAAAAAAAUUCUUAAUUUUUUAUUUUUUCAGACCAAAGCCAAUGGAGUAGACGAGGGGAGAGCUGAGGGAGAAAAGAAGGACAGAGACGUGAGGAGAGAGGAGGUUUUUUCAAAACUAAAAAAUCUUAGCAUAUUAAAAUUUAAUUAACUUUUAAAUUCAUCUAAAUUAAUGACUAAGGAUUUGAACUUAUAUGCAAAGAGCGAGCACAUACUAGCGAUCUCCGUCAAAUUGUUGUUUUUUUCCCUCGAACCUACACUUGUUUGCGUCACUUUGCUACCGUCUAUGUCUAGCGAUCUCCGUCAUGUGAGUCUUGGGCACUACGUUAGCCUCCGCUCCAGGAAGAUUCCACCUUGACAUUUCAUUCCCUCUCUCACUCUGCACUCUCAUACUUCCACUCCUACAGUGACACACACACUCCCUCUCUCUCUCUCUUUCCCUCCCCCCUAUAUAACAACACACAAAAAUCUACCUCCAAUAACAAAACUCAAACCCCUUUUCCCAGAAUUGCAGAACCCCCGAGCAAAAAGCUCCAGAAAUCGUGGAGUUUUUUGGUUCAUCAAACCACGUCUCUCAAUCUUCUUCUCACACUACACAUCACUGAUGCAUCCAGGUACCGAUUUUCUGCUCAAACCGGUUUUUAUACAUGGGUUUUCUGGUUCAUUACACAUAGUGUUGGUAUUUGUGUUGUUCUUCUCUUGGUUGUGGAGGAAAUUCAAGUUGGGUGAUGGAGGAGGAGGAGAGGCUCCGAAACAGAGGUUUUCAAAUAGCCGAAAUUCGUACUACAAGCAGGCUUUAAUUUGUACUUUCUGUGUUUCUGGGUUUUGUCUGGUUUUUUGUUUAUUGAACUACUUUUCUUGGUACAAAAAUGGUUGGUCUGAUGAAAAAGUAGUGACCCUUUUGGAUUUAGCUGUUAGAACACUCUCUUGGGGUGCAGUUUGUGUUUAUUUGCAUACCCAAUUCUCCAAUUCUGCUGAAUCCAUUAAGUUCCCAAACUUUUUGAGAGUUUGGUGGGGUUUCUAUUUCUCUAUUUCUUGCUAUUCCCUUGUCAUUGACAUUGUUCUUCACAAGGAUCGUGUUUCGUUGCCUGUUAAAUCUUUGAUUUUCGAUGUUGUCUGUGUUGUUUCGGGUUUGUUUUUCAUGUAUGUGGGGUUUUUCGGGAAGAAAGAGGGUAGAGAUUCUGUUCUUGAGGAACCCUUUUUGAACGGUAAUCGUAGUACUAGUGUAGGUAAUGAUGGAGAGUCAAAUAAGUCGAGAGGGGGAACAAAUGUUAACCCUUAUUCAAACGCUGGAAUUUUCAGCAUUCUUACUUUUGCUUGGAUGGGUCCUCUAAUUGCGGCUGGCAAUAAGAAGGCGUUGGACCUUAAGGAUGUUCCCGACCUAGAUAAGGUUGACAGUGUAUUUGGGUCCUAUCCUCGUUUUAAAAGUAAGCUCGAUGUGGGGUGUGGUGGGAGCGGCAGAGUUACCACACUUCAUCUGGUGAAGGCAUUAGUCUUCUCAGCCUGGAAAGAGAUUCUCUUGACCGCUUCAUUUGGGAUUUUUUACACAAUGGCGUCUUAUGUUGGUCCAUAUCUGAUCGACACACUUGUUCAAUACCUCUAUGGGCGACGGCAGUUCAAAAAUGAAGGCUAUGUUUUGGUUUCUGCAUUUUUGUUGGCAAAGCUCGUGGAGUGCCUCACUCAAAGGCACUGGUUCUUUAAGACGCAACAGGUAGGAGUAAGAAUCCGCGCAGUACUUGUUACAGCCAUCUAUAACAAGGGUUUGACCUUGUCAUGCCAGUCCAAGCAGGGCCACACAAGCGGUGAGAUUAUCAAUUUUAUGACUGUCGAUGCUGAGAGGAUUGGUAACUUCACUUGGUACAUGCACUAUCCAUGGAUGAUCCUUGUACAAGUUGGCUUGGCCCUA
Molecule: long non-coding RNA, 62983 nt
Filed under: Malus domestica (apple)
Lineage: Eukaryota; Viridiplantae; Streptophyta; Magnoliopsida; Rosales; Rosaceae
Description: long non-coding RNA (MDOM_LNC010682)
Source: RNAcentral